GGAACAUCCUUAAAAAGAAAGAACGCACCGGUGAGCUCAGCAACACCAAAAGACCCGGAAGACCACGGAAAACAACUGUGGUGGAUGACUGAAGAAUUCUUUCCCUGGUGAAGAAAACACCCUUCACAACAGUUGGCCAGAUCAAGAACACUCUCCAGGAGGUAGGUGUAUGUGUGUCAAAGUCAACAAUCAAGAGAAGACUUCACCAGAGUGAAUACAGAGGGUUCACCACAAGAUGUAAACCAUUGGUGAGCCUCAAAAACAGGAAGGCCAGAUUAGAGUUUGCCAAACAACAUCUAAAAAAUGCCUUCACAGUUCUGGAACAACAUCCUAUUCACAUAUGAGACCAAGAUCAACUUGUAUCAGAGUGAUGGGAAGAGAAGAGUAUGGAGAAGGAAAGGAACUGCUCAUGAUCCAAAGCAUACCACCUCAUCAGUGAAGCAUGGUGGUGGUAGUGUCAUGGCGUGGGCAUGUAUGGCUGCCAAUGGAACUGGUUCUCUUGUAUUUAUUGAUGAUGUGACUGCUGAAAAAAGCAGCAGGAUGAAUUCUGAAGUGUUUCGGGCAAUAUUAUCUGCUCAUAUUCAGCCAAAUGCUUCAGAACUCAUUGGACGGCGCUUCACAGUGCAGAUGGACACUGACCCAAAGCAUACUGCAAAAGCAACCAAAGAGUUUUUUAAGGGAAAGAAGUGGAAUGUUAUGCAAUGGCCAAGUCAAUCACCUGACCUGAAUCCGAUUGAGCAUGCUUUUCACUUGAUAAAGACAAAACUGAAGGGAAAAUGACCCAAGAACAAUCAGGAACUGAAGACAGUUGCAGUAGAGGCUUGGCAGGGCAUUACCAGGGAUGAAACCCAGCGUCUGGUGAUGUCUAUGCGUUCCAGACUUCAGGCUGUAAUUGACUGCAAAGGAUUUGCAACCAUGUAUUAAAAAGUGAAAGUUUGAUUUAUGACUAUUAAUCUGUCCCAUUACUUUUGGUCCCUUAAAAAGUGGGAGGCACAUAUACAAACUGUUGUAAUUCCUACACCGUUCACCUGAUUUGAAUGUAAAUACCCUCAAAUUAAAGCUAAAAGUCUGCAGUUAAAGCACAUCUUGUUUGUUUUAUUUCAAACUCAUUGUGUUGGUGUAUGGAGCCAAAAAGAUUAGAAUUGUGUCGAUGUCCCAAUAUUUAUGGACCUGACUGUAUGCAUUACAGAUACACAAGUAGAUUUAUUUUGGAGGUAAUAAAUAUAAUUUGAAAUAAUAUUUUCUUCCACUUCAUUAAUAAUUAUUACCUACAAAUUAUGGUACAGGUAUAAGGACCAAGUUUGCAUCAACCUAUGCCCAACUAUUUCUGUCAUAUUGGGAGAAGUUGUUUAUUAUCAUAAGCAUGGCAGUGGGGCAAACGUGGUCCUGUAUAAAAGGUAUAUUUAUGACCUUUUUAUAAAUGAAAGGGGGUUAAAAACAUAUUUUUGCAAUUCUUAAAAGAUAUAUAUGACAAUGAUUGGAGUACAGCACUCACGAAAUUAUUAGUCUAAAAUGUUUUGUUUUGGAACUUUAUAUAAACAUUAAUAAAAUGAUCAAAAUCCAAAAUAUAAAGUUCACUAUACCUUUGAAAGUGUGCCAAACAAAUAUUUGUGCACCAUAUUCUAUUAAAUACAAUGCUUAUUCAAAAUAGUGCAUAAAACCAUGUGUUUGUGCAAAAUCACAAAAAGGUUCAAUAAUUGUGCAACAUAUAGCAAAAGUGCAAGCAUCCAAAACAUUCUGUUGCAAAUCAAGUGCAUACAUUUCAAACACAAAAAAAUGCUUAACCUUCUUUGUAGAAUGCUUUUCGAAUAAGCUAGUUAGCUACGCAUGUUUUUGAUUAAUACAAGUCAAUGUUUAAGCACAUCACCAUAUGGGAGUGAACUAUAGACAAGUAAAACAUCAUGUCAAAUAAAGUACAAACGGUGUGAAGGUAGUGAAACAGUGAAAGUACUGUCAGCAAAAUGAAACAGACGAUUAAUUUACCAAGAUUGUGCCCACAGAAGGCCCCCCAAGACAAACUGAUUAAGGAGAUGUGAGAAAUGAGAAAUGUUGGACAAAAUAAUAGAAAUAAUGCAAACUACACUAAAGGAUGAGACAGUUGGACAGAUGUGUCCCACAGAUAUCACUAAUAAAAUGGUGACAAGUAUGUAGCCAAGAGUAGAAGAGUUUCCUUUCCCCAAGCCUCUUUCAUCCAAUGCCUACUGUGGGCAGAGCAUAGUCCUGCAUCAGGGUUGCAUACUGCUCAUCUUCAUAGCCAGGAUGGAUGUUGUUUUUUGUUCUCUUGAGAUGUCUCUUGAGAUGUCUCAGACUUUGGCUAUAGACCACCACGUUGUCUUUCUCUGUGACACUUUAGACAGGAGUAAGGUGCGCUUUGCUCUCUGCCGCUCUCUCAAGGUACGCAAGGCAUCGAGAACUGCUGGGACCAAGGUCUUCCAGAGGGUGCUUUUCAAGGUAAGUAUCCGCUCUUCUGCAGUGGGGCAAGUUUUUGAUCAAACUUCUGCCAGAAAUUUGAAAAUAUUUAGUCCAGAGAAGCCAAAACAUUAACAUUAGCGGCACAGGGGCCAUCAAUGCAUGCAUUGUCUGCCAUUUUGGGGAAGUCACUGCAUGGUUUCACCAUCCAUGCUGCCUCACUCUGCGCUCUAGUAACAGCAGGGUAUCUCAUGAGGGGACUGUCCAAGGCAUAUGUGUGCUGUUGUCCGCUGCCGAACAACCUGGGACAGGAGACCGGCUGCUUUUCCUACCCUAUGUGCUCCAGGCCACAGGAUCUGAUACGGGGUAAGUAAGCUCUCCUAGGGCCACAGAUUAAUACACCUUAAGCCCACUAUGAUGAGGGCAUUGUUGCUGGCCAGUUAGUUAGUUUCCCAGUUUCUGACUAUUAGAAUUUUAAAAGCUACAAAACAAUGUAUAAUGAAAUUUCUUUCCAUCUUUUUUAACUUAGGCCAUCUCAAAUGCAAUAAAGCUACCUCUGGCACAAUCGUAAGUCUAUAUUCUAUCAUUUUAUAUAUAAGAACAAAAAUCUUUUUCCAUUGCAUCUUUAUUUCAGUACAGCUUCACCAGAUAGGUAUGUAUGAACCUCUACUCAAAGAACAAUCACAUGGCCCCCUAUAGCUGGCUGUGAAUCUGCCAGCAGGGGGACUGUCUGAAAUGCUAGAGUUCCCCUGCUGGUGGUAAAGUAAAAAAAAAAAAAAGAAUUAAACAUGUGUAAAAUUAAAAUAGAAAUGUAUUUAUAUAUAUAAUAUAUGUGUAUAUAUCUAUUAUAUAUAUAUAUAUAUAUAUAUAUAUAUAUAUAUAUACUAUAUAUACAUAUUAUAUAUAUGUAACGUCAUACAAAGUGAAUUUUAAUAUUAAUAUAAGUACAUAUAUUAGUGUAACGGAUCACCUGGCACCCCGACUGGGUACCUCCGUUGAAGGAUGCUUCUAGGGCUUCCUGAGGACUCCAAGCAGUGCAGCAGGCACCACAACCACCGCCGUCUUCCUUCAACCCUGUAUGAACCUCCAGCAUCCAGGACCGUGUGGGGAAGACCUCUCCUCCAGGAGAGCGUAACAGGAACAGCUCUUAAAAGAGCUAAGUGAUUAAAAGCUCAAGGGAGUAUGCAGAGCAUAGCAAUCCCCAGUGUGAUAUAGUAUUGAGGGUCAAGAAGAUCUGUAUUACUUGGCACCAAAGGGCCUUCUUUUAUCUUUUUUCCCUACAUAGGACCACCCACAGGGUUUUUCAGAACAACCAAUAAACACAUUACAACAUAUACAAUGCAAGUACAGCAGCCAAUCAGACACAAUGGACAAUAGAAACACACCCAUCAUAUUCCUCCCCUCUGCUUAGGAGAUAAUUGAGUCAAUGACUGUAUCUACUCAAUUAUCUCCAAGCUGAAAAGUUACACUUUUUAUACAUUUUUAUAGCUUUGUGAGUUUACAUCACAAACGAAUAAAACUUAUAUUUUAGUGAUCAGCAUAACUUGGGGAGCAACAUAUGUAAAAAUCACAUGAAUCCAUCUAGGGGUUAAAAAGUUAGGUUGAGGUCCCUUUAUUAUCAAUUGCAAGCAUGGCUUUUCCUUCCCAAACCAGUUCCCACUGGUCUGGCAGUGUCCCUGGGACAACUCCCUGCUGGAGAACAAUGGAGCUGGGGGAGGGGAAGAGCCUCACCUUCCCAGGGAUUCAAAGGGGAAGAAAAAGUGUCCAAAAAGUUUCCAUGUGUCCAUACACUGUUUUUAAAAGGGCCAGCACUGUACAAUAAAAGUCCAUAAGCCCAAAUGAGUUCUUAAAGGGCAAUACAUCCCAGGGCCAUAGUCGCAGGGCAGGAGGCUAGCAAUCAGUCCUCUCCAAUGCCCAGUGGCAAAUGGCAGUUUGUCACAAUUAGUAUUAAAAUACCCUUAGAAUGACGUUACAUAUAUAUAAUAUGUAUAUAUAUUAUAUAUAUUAUAGAUAUAUACACAAAUAUAUAAAUAUAUAUACGUAUAAUUACAAUAAUAAAUAAAUAAAAUAAUAAAAUAAAUAAAUAAAAUAUUGAAACAAAAUUUGAUAUAAAUUAUAUAUUCAUAUGUAAUUUCAUUCUAACUGUAUUUUGUUAUUAAUAUAUAUAUAUAUAUUGGUAACAAAAUACACUUAGAAUGACAUUCUAUAUAUAUCUAUCUAUAUAUAAAAUACAAAUAACCGCAAAUAUAUAUAUAUAGAUAAAUACAUAUAAUUACUUAAAAUAUUACAUUAGUAUACACAUAGAAUUUAAAUACCUAUAAAUGCAUAUAUAUUAAAAUUCUUCUUGAAUAUUUAAGUAAUCUUUUAACAUAAUUUUGUGAUUUGAUUAAUUAAAAUUUGAUUGACAUACCUGACAACACGGGGAGAAAGUGCAGAGAAUUGAAUUUGCAAGCACUAUAUUUUACCCUGUAACUCUCCAAGACACCAUAAAAUCUGUACAUAGGGGGUACUGUUUUACUCAGGAGACUUCGCUGAACUCAAAUAUCAGUGUUUCAAACUGGUAAAUUGUAUUACAACGAUGAUAUUUUAAGUAAAAGCUAAAUUUUUUGCAUUUUUUACAAACAAACAGCACUUUUAUGGACUAUAUUAUUGUUGUAAUAUGUUUUACUGUUUUAAAACACUAAUAUUUGUGUUUAGUGAAGUCUCCUGAGAAUAACAGUACCCCCAUGUGCAGGUUUUAUGGUGUUUUGGAAAGUUAGAGAGUCACAUAUAAGGCUUGCAUUUCAUUUUUUUACAUUGAAAUUUGUCAGAUUGGUUAUGUUGUCUUUGAGAGCGUAUGGUAGCCCAGGAAUGAGAAUCUGCAAAAGUAGACAACUCAAGGUAUUGCAAGUGGGGUAUAUCCAGUCUUUCUGAGUAGCCACUUAGUCACAAACACUGGGCAAAUAUUAGUUUUUUGCUUUUUUCACACAAAAACAAAUAUGAACGCUAAUUUUGGCCAGUGUUUGUGACUAAGUGGCUACUAAAAAAGACUAAACAUACCCCACUUUCAAUACCUUGGGUUGUCUAGUUUUUCAAAUGGUAUGCCAUUAUGGGGGUAAUUCUCAUUCCUGGGCUACCACACCGUCUCAAAGGUAACAUUACUAAUCUGGCAAAUUUCAAUGUGAAAAUGGAACGUUCUAUAUUUGACCCUGUAACUUUUGAAAACACCAUAAAAUCUGUUAAUGGGGGGUACUGUUGUACUCAUGAGACAUCGCUGAUUACAAAUAUGUGCAUUUGUUUGCAGUAAAACCUAACAGUAUUAUGACAUUCACAGCUAAAAUGUCAGACGGAAAUACAAAUGUAAAAAAAAAAUCUUAUUUUCUCACAUUUUUUUAAAUUUUAUUCAUAAUAAAUUAUGUUCCAUAUAUGAAUAGUUAAUGAUAAAUUAAAGCCCUGUUUCUCCUGAACAAAAUGAUAUAUAAUAAGUGUGGGUGCACUUAAUGUGACAGCGGUGAAUUACGGUUGAACAGACAUAUAGUGCAAAUUCCAGUGUUUGUUUACGUUUUGUUUUGAUCAGAACUAUUGACUCCGUCCUGAAGGGGUUAAUGAUUUAUACCAGUCUAUAUUUGUGAUUGUAAUAUUUAAUUAAUUUUCCCAUUUUACUAAAGCAUUGAUUUGAUCCUUAUUUUUAUUCUUUUUGAUCAUACUCAAUGCUUUGGAGAGAACUUUAUAAACUUUAUUUUGGUUAAAAAUACUAUGUAAAUCCUCAUUUAUUCCUGUUUUACUAAACCUUAAAUGUUGCUUUAAUGUAUACUUUACUCUUAGUUAGUUAAAAAGCUCAGAUGAAGGGAAUUUAAACUCUAUUGUUAAAUCCAAAAAUGAUUUUAUUUUAGUAUAUUCUAUUAGGGGGUUUAUAGUUGUAAAAUUACAUCUUUUCAAGUUUGUUAAGGCAACAUUUUCCAAGUUGGCCUCCAGUACCUCCAAUGGCAUAAAGCUAAAAAUCCUUCCCUUAAUAUCUAGGAAUUUUUUAACAGAGUCCCAAAUCUCAUUCAAAUGGUUUUUUUUUUUUUUUUUUAUAUUCUUUAUUUUUCUUGUGCAACAAGAUAGACAUGCAAGCGUGUGUUGCCACAUUCUCAAACCUAAGUGAUUCAAACGGUAUGGUACUAUGGCACAUGAGGAAACUGAACAAUUUUAUUUUUUUAUAUUAAACAUGCUAAACCAGAUCUUUCCAGUAUAUGUGUUAUCAAGAGGAGUAGAAAGGCGUAUUACAUAUACUGAUUUGAAUGAAGGGAAAAGAGUAAGGUAAACAAGAGUGGUAUUAAAGGAAACUACAAGCUUAGAUAGACCACUAAUUAGCAGUCGUGAGUAGUAUCAGUGAUAAUUAAUAAGCAGGGUAAACAAUCAUGUCAAAAUGAGAGGCAGAUGCAGAAUAGUCUACCUGCCAAGAAAUUAUAGACAUGAUGAGUGUUAUUCUAUCUGUAGCUUAACAGGUUAGACAUAGUAGUAGUACAUAGAUAGAAAAAUAAUAAGAAGGAUCUGGUUAACAAGGCGGUUAUGCCAGAAUUUUACUGUUAGGCGUUUUAGCUAUGUACUUUGGCAACACGGUACCGGAGUCUACCACAUCAGGGGGGUGAGAUUUUAUUGCUAUGCCUGGCAGGUAAAUGAGUGGGGUAGCAAAAAGAACAAACAAAAAAGAGUUCACCAGGUUGCCUUGGUGUUAGCAGAUCGCAGCUUAAGAGGCUGAAUGAGGGGCUAGGUAGCAUCUGUUGUAGGAAAGACGGGCUGCGGGCGGACUCUGUGGUGUGUGCCCUGUAUGUGAGUUCCUGGUAAGCCUAUGCCCAGCAGAGGAAAAGGCUAUGGUGGUGCUCGGAAGUCUCGCUGGGGCAAUGCAGGGUCUUGUUGAGUGAGUCCUUUCUCAGGCCGUCUCAGUGGCUGUGGUUUAUGGUACCGCAUGUGAGUUCUCUGAUCAAACGGCUCACCCAUGUGGGGUAAGCUUCUUUGCAGGUGCCAUGCAGGAAUGUUGCAGCGAGAUGGCAAGGUGCUUAGUCGGCAAUGUCAUGCUGCUGUGUGGCUCAGUGCUUGGAGUGUCUGCUGGCGUAUCCAUCGGUGCGGUGGGCACUUCUCCAUGUCGGCGCUGGUUCGAUGGGGAACUUCAGCCCCUCCCCUGUUUGGUAGGUAGAGCGGGGUGUGUAGCUCUAUGCUCUAUGCACCUCCAGAAGUCCUGGCAGAUGCGAUCAUGCUUCAAAGCGCUCCCUCCACGCCUGUAUUUCUGGGCUUUCCCCUGUCUGCAGGGGAUGGUGCUCGGCGGUCAUCUUGGACCCGGCAUGCGGUCUGCUGUCCAACCAAGGAGUGUCUGUUUGUAAGACUGUUGGGUUCCCCAGCGUGGACCGGGAUAACCCCCACUGCUCCAUAGGGGGGGCAUGUGGGUCAACAGGAGAGCUGAUGUUUCUUGCUGUCCCCAUGGCGGGAGAUCGGCCACCUCUCCCAGCCACUAGGCCACCUUCCUUGCUAAAAACAAGAAAUGGUAAAUAGGUCGCGCUACAGAAACAAAUAAAUAAUAUAUAGGGAUAGUAUAUCUACAUAAAAUAAGAAAAGCAAGAAAAUGAAUAAAUAAUAGUCCCAAUAUUGAUGUCUGGUUAGAUCAACUUGUAAAGGCUUGAAUGUGUGAUGAAUCCAAUAGAGUACUGGAUCUUCAGAUGCUGGAGGUGUCUUGACUCAAUUGUGAAUAUGUGGAUAUAAAAAUACAAAAAUACUCCAAUAGUGCAGACAACAAGUUGACAAGUAGAAAAAUAUAUAUAUACAACAGGGAAGUAAUCCACUCACCUAUUUGAGAGCAUAAACUAGCUCAAGUAUUCGUAGCAUUCAGGGGCGUCAAUCCUCCACUGGUAGGCUAUAGAUGGUGGUAUUCUGAAGAGCUCCUCAGUAUGUAGAGAAAUAAAAGGCCAUAUAUAGUGCUCACUGAAUAUAUUGUAGAACAAAUCAAUAAGAAGAAAUAAAAUACUCACAUUUAUAUGAGCAGGAUAUACUGCUCAAUAUGAUGGCACAGGUGGUACUAUCCCCACCUAGGAUUCUUGGGCCAACGCGUGCUCCAAUAUAGUAAGUGACCAGGUGUAAACACAAUAAAUAAAAUAAUAAAAGAUAUAUGGCAAAUAUAAGGUAUAAAAGAAAGGGACAAUAUUCCUUUAUUAAUAAUAGUUUAAAAAUAAGAAUAUAAAACGCAUUUCGCCACACAGGGCUUUAUCAACUGGCAUUAAAAGAAAACAACCUGGUACAUAGAUGCUUAUAUAGACUCCUUAAACAUAUGUUAAUUCAAAUUUUGGCACCAAAAUGACAUCAUUGGUGAAAUACAAAAAACAGUACAUAAUAUAAAUACAAUAGGAACAGAGUAUUGGAAAAACAACCCAAAUGAUUUUGCUAUAUUGUAAUCUCUAAAACGAGCAUUCUACUUAAAAGAUUAUUAAAAUAUUAAAAUCACGUGAUCGCGAUCUGCCGCGAUCACGUGGUAUGUCCCUAUGGACUAUGGGAAAUGGAUGCUGAGCCUGGGGGAUCAGCGUGAACAGAUACGCCCAUCAUCGUGACGUCAGCGUGCAGGGCGGGGUUAUAGUCCGAGCAUAGGCGUGCGCACGGGGUGUGCCGGGUGUGCCUGGGCACACCCUAAUCCCCGUGGCACGCCUAUGGUUUGAGUCCUGCAGGAACAGCGUCCCUGCACUUUUUUGAGCAGGAACGCUGUUCCUGCAGACACUCAGCACCCCCUGUCUCACCUCUUGCCCCUGUCAUGGGAGGGCAAGAGGUGAUCGAUCCCCCCCCCCUCUCUCCAGCUCAGCCGCGGCGAGGGAGCUCUCUGCUGUCUGCGCUCUGCUUCCUCUCGCCGCACGCUGAUGCCGGAAGCCGGAAUAUGACGUCAUAUUCCGGCUCCCAGCUGCAGCAGACAGCCCGCGCGGCGAGAGGAAGCAGAGCGCAGACAUCACACAGCUCCCUCGCCGCGGCUGAGCUGGAGAGAGGCGCCCGCCCCACUGGACCCCAGGGACAAGUCCACGCCAGCACUCCAGGUAGGAGGCUGGGUGGACAUUUUUUUUUAAUUAAAAUGUAAUAAUUUGUUCUUAUGUGUGAGUGUGUCUGUGUGAGUGAGUGUGUCAGUGAGUGUGUGUGUGUGUCUGUGUGAGUGAGUGAGUGUGUCAGUGAGUGUGUGUGUCUGUGUGUGAGUGUGUGUGUCUGUGAGUGUGUGUGUCUGUGAGUGUGUGUGUCUGUGUGUGAGUGUGUGUGUGUGUGAGUGUGUGUGUCUGUGAGUGUGUGUGUCUGUGUGAGUGAGUGUGUCAGUGAGUGUGUGUGUCUCUGUGUGAGUGUGUGUGUGUCUGUGUGAGUGAGUGUGUCAGUGAGUGUGUGUGUGUGUGUGUGUGUGUGUGUGUGUGUGUGUGUGUGUGUGUGUGUGUGUGUGUGUGUGUGUGUGUGUGUGUGUGUGUGUGUGUGUGUGUGUGUGUGUGUGUGUGUGAGUGUGUGUGUGAGUGUGUCUGAGUGUGUGUGUGUCUGUGAGUGUGUGUAUGUGAAUGUGUGUGUGUGUCAGUGUGUGUCUGUGUGUGAGUGUGUGUGUGUCUGUGUGUGUGUCAGUGAGUGUGUGUCUGUGAAUGUAUGUGUGUGUGUGUCAGUGAGUGUAUGUGUGUGUCUGUGUGAGUGUGUGUCUGUGAAUGUGUGUGUCUGUGAGUGUAUGUGUGUGUGUGUCUGAAUGUGUCUGUGAGUGUAUGUGUGUGUGUGUCUGAAUGUGUCUGUGAGUGUGUGUGUGUAUGCAUAUAUAUAUAUGUAUAUAUAUAUAUAUAUAUAUAUACACACACACACACGCAGAGCCGGCGCUAUCUGAGUGCCGGCUCUGCUUUAAGCCUCCAUGGGCCGGCAGGGAGACCAAAGAUCUACCUCACCGGCCCACAGCAGCAUGGAGGGAGGCAGGAGAGGACCCAGGGAGCUCUAGACAGAAGCUCCGCCAGGUUCCUCUCGUGAUAUCUGAGUGUUGCUGCGUCACGCCUAUGAGUCCGAGAUCGUGCCGCUCUCUAAACAAAUUCGCCUGCGGCAUAGUGCCAGAGAGCGAUACACAGGACUUUCACUUCUUAGUGACAGUACACUCCGGGGAGUGAGGUCAAUCAGGUGGAACGCUCCAAAGGAUGGGAGCACUCCACCCGACAGCCUCCCUACCCAUCAAUCCACUGUAACAUCAGUAAAAAGUUAAAAUGAAAUUGUAACAGCACAGCAAUGUUUUUUUGAUUAUAAAUAUCAAUAAAAUAAUUCAUAAACUAAUACAUGAAAUAAUAUAAUAAUAAUGGCAAUACGAAUAAAAGAUUUUAAGGGGAAACUAAAAACUAAAAAAUAAAUGAAAAACCACAUUGAAUAGAUAUAUUCUUUAUGUAACGUGGGGUAUAAAACAAGUUAAAAAAAGGGGGUUGUAUUUAUAUUGGAAACUAUAAAAAUGGGAAUCAAAUAAAAUAAAAAUAUAUAGCCCAAAUGGGAAUUGUUGCAAUUACAAAAAAUGUAAAAAAAAAAAUUCAAAAAAAUUAACAUAAAAAAAAUAAAAAAAUAAAAAUAAUCUUAAAUAACAACUAUUUUUGGUUUUCGGACUCAUUUUAUAUCCAAAAGAAAGGCACCGCCAUGGGAACCAGGUUUGCCCCCAGCUUUGCAAACCUCUUCAUGGCCGAUUGGGAGUCUUCGGCCAUUUGGGGCGAACAUGGCUGGCGGGCAAACUUGGUUUCCUAUUUUCGGUAUAUUGAUGAUUUAUUUUUUAUCUGGCAAGGUUCAGAAACUUGUCUGAAAUUGUUUUUAGAGUAUCUAAAUGAAAAUGAUAGUGGCAUAGUUUUAUCCUCAGAACAUAGUAAUGUAUCAGUCAAUUUUUUGGACCUUAACAUUUUUAUUCAAGAUUGUAGCAUCCAAACAAAAACCUUCUUCAAAGAAGUGUGCACCAAUACUAUAAUUGACCAUACCAGCUGUCAUCACAAACCUUGGUUGGAUGGCAUUCCAGAAAGCCAAUUUCUGCGCCUCCACCGCAAUUGUUCUCUAACAACUGAUUUUGAUGUUUAAUCUACCUCAUUAAAUAAUAUGUUUUUAGAAAAAAAUUAUAAACCAGAAAAACUAAAUGCAGCCCUAGAGGAAGUUAAGGAGAAGGAGAGAAAAGAACUUCUGAAAUAUAAAGUCAAAAAAGAAGACCCCCCCAAAAUUACCUAUUAUUUUAGAUUUUAACAGUAAAAACAAAACCCUUAAAAAGAUUAUCAAUAAACACUGGCACAUUCUCAAACAAGAUGAUCUUUUGAGAGACUACAUCCCAGACAAACCUAAUGUAAUAUUUAGAGGGGCCCCUAAUUUUAAAACAAUUCUCACAAAAAAUUACACUAAAAAUAACACACAACAGAGAGGUAAUUUUAUGUCCAAGCUGAAAGGCUUUAAGUACAAUAAAUGUAUUGUGUGUAGAACCACAAACCCAAUUGCCAACACUAAAACCACCCAUUUCUCCUCCACAAUUGCAAAAGUCUCAUAUCCAAUCAAAGAUUUCAUUGGUUGUAAUACAAUUUUUUUUUUAUAUAUUUGUUGGAGUGUCCAUGUGGACUCCAAUAUGUAGGCAUGACUACAUGAUGCCUAAAAAUUAGACUGGCGGAACAUUGUCGAAAUAUCAGAAGAGGUUAUGAUAAUCAAUCAGUCGCAAAACACUUUUUAGUACACAAUAAAGAUCCAGAAAUUUUUUAAAGUUACUGGGAUAGAACAAGUUACUAUGCCUUGGAGGGGUGGAGAUAUGAAAAACAUCUUAGGGAAAAGAGAAAUGAACUGGGUCUUCCAACUUCAAAACCCUCUCUCCAGAAGGACUUAAUGUUGAAUUUGAUCUUUUUAAUUUUCUAUAAAAUAGUUAUGUUUUCCUGCCACCCUAUAUACCCAUCUUCUAUUAGGAUGCAUAAUAAGACCUAAUAAUUUAAUGGUUAACUUCCUAUUUGACUUAGAUAAGUUGGUUCAUUUUUUAAAUAUUUUUUUAAAUAUUUUUUUUAAAUAUUUGUUAAGAAAAUUUAAUUUUUUUUUAGUUUUUUUAAAAAACUUUUUAAAUUUUUUUUUUAAUCUUUUAUUCUUAUUGCCAUUAUUAUUAUUAUAUUAUUUCAUGUAUUAGUUUAUGUAUUAUUUUAUUGAUAUUUAUAAUCAAAAAAAACAUUGCUGUGCUGUUACAAUUUCAUUUUAACUUUUUACUGAUGUUACAGUGGAUUGAUGGGUAAGGUGGCAGUCGGGUGGAGCGCUCCCAUCCUUUGGAGUGUUCCACCUGAUUGACCUCACUCCCCGGAGUGUACUGUUAUUAAGAAGUGAAAGUCCUGUGUAUCGCUCUCUGGCACUAAGCCGCAGGCGAAUUUGUUUAGAGAGCUGCACAAUCUCGAACUAUAACCCCGCCCUGCACGCUGACGUCACAACGAUGGACGUAUCUGUUCACGCCGAUCCCCCAGGCUCAGCAUCCAUUUCCCAUAGUCCAUUGGGACAUACCAGGUGAUCGCGGCAGAUCGCGAUCACGUGAUUUUAAUAUUUUAAUAAUCUUUUAAGUAGAAUGCUCGUUUUAGAGAUUAAAAUAUAGCAAAAUCAUUUGGGCUGCUUUUCCAAUACUCUGUCCCUAUUGUAUUUAUGUUUUGUACUGUUUUUUGUAUUUCACCAAUAAUGUCAUUUUGGUGCCAAAAUUUUAAUUAACAUAUGUUUAAGGAGUCUAUAUAAGCAUCUAUGUACUAGGUUGUUUUCUUUUAAUGCCAGUUGAUAAAGCCCUGUGUGGCGAAAUGCGUUUUGGCUCUUUUUUAUAUUCUAAUUUUUAAACUAUUAUUAAUAAAGGAAUAUUGUCCCUUUCUUUUAUACCUAAUAUUUGCCAUAUACCUUUUAUUAUUUUAUUUAUUGUGUUUACACCUGGUCACUUACUAUAUUGGAGCACGCAUUUGCCCAAGAAUCCUAGGUGGGGAUAGUACCACCUGUGCCAUCAUAUUGAGUAGAAUAUCCUGCUCAUAUAAAUGUGAGUAUUUUAUUUCUUCUUAUUGAUUUGUUCUACAAUAUAUUCAGUGAGCACUAUAUAUGGCCUUUUAUUUCUCUACAUACUGAGGAGCUCUUCAGAAUACCACCAUCUAUAUCCUACCAGUGGGGGAUUGACGCCACUGAAUGCUACUAAUACUUGAGCUAGUUUAUGCUCUCAAAUAGGUGAGUGGAUUACCUCCCUGUUGUAAAUAUCUAUUUUUCUACUUGUCAACUUGCAGUCUGCACUAUUGGAGUAUUUUUUGUCUUUUUAUAUCCACAUAUUCACAAUUGAGUCAAGACACCUCCAGCAUCUGAAGAUCCAGUACUCUAUUGGAUUCAUCACACAUUCAAGCCUUUACAAGUAGAUCUAACCAGACAUCAAUAUUGGGACUAUUAUUUAUUCAUUUUCUUGCUUUUCUUAUUUUAUGUAGAUAUACUAUCCCUAUAUAUUAUUUAUUUGUUUCUGUAGCGCAACCUAUUUACCAUUUCUUGUUUUUCUAUUUCCUUUGAGGGCACGUGAGGGAACCUCAUAUCUAUAGGUUGCUGCUCUAUAUCCAUUUUAGCUUCUAUUCGAUCACAUAGCGCUGAUCCAAUAUCUAUCUGUUUCACCUUCCAUGCUAGGCCGCAUAUGUGGAGUGAGGACUCUGUUUUUCACGUCUGAUUUUCACGAGGCGGGUAUCCCUGGGUCUCCAGUCGCUCCAGCACUUCUUUGUAGGUGAGCUGGUUUGCUUUUGCAAGAUUGCCGCAUAAAUUAUUAAAACAGCUUGGCUGUUAGGCUGUUUCAAUAUUAGGUAGGGGUUUAUGAUUACAAUUCCAUUUAUUUUAAAUAGUUUAGAUUAAUUCAGACUAUUCAUUUCCAUCACAUACCAAAUUUUUGUAAGUUCUGUAUCCAGCUGAAGAUUAUAUAUAUGAGUAACUAUACUUGCAAAACAGUUAUACUUAAUAUUAGGGAAAUUUAUUUCACCUUUCUAUUUUUUUAUAGAAAGUAACAGAAUAUUUAAUCUUCGUUGUUUCCCUUUCCAAAUAUUUUGAUUAAAUCCCCUUUGUAUCAUCUUCAACCAACUAUCUGGAAUUAUGAGAGGGAGCAUUUGAAAUAAAUCGGUAAUAGAUAUGCAUUAAUUUUAUUUGCUCUACCUAUCCACAAUGCUCCCACAUUUUUUCCAGUCUUUCAGGGUAUGAUUUGUGGCUUUUAAUAAUUCUAAAAAGUUAUUUCCAUGCUAGUUUUAAUAUUUUUUGCUAUUUUCACUCCUAGAGAGUUUAUUACUUUUUUAGACCAUUCAAGCCAUAUUUGGUUUUAAUUGCAUUUUUUAUCUCUGUUUUUAAAUUACAGCCUGUAAUAAUUGAUUUCUCUAUGUUAAUCUUAAAAUUAAAAGCUUCAGAAUAUUCUGUAAACUCUUCCAUUAAAUGUUCUGAUUACUUAAUCGGAUCUGUUAGUGUGAUCAAUGUAUCAUCUGCAUAUAGAUUUAUUUUUGAUUCUAGUGAUUGUAACACAACUUCCCUAAUCCUACAUGCAAAUGGUUCUAAAGAAAUUAUAUAGAGCAAUGGUGAAAGUGGACACCCUUGACGUGUUCCAUUCAAUAGUAGGAACCAGUCAAAACAGAUGUUUUGUCCAACAACUCUGGCUGAUGGUGAUUUAUAAAGGGCCAUUAUAGCCUUGUGCAUCCACCCAUCUAUUCCUACUCUUUUUAAAGUCAGACUCAAUUAUUUCCAGCCGACCCUGUUGAAGGCCUUUUCUGCAUCCACCGACAGGUUCAGCAUGGGAAGGUGAGUUCUAUUUACUAGAUCCAAAAUUUUCAAAAUUUUAUAGAGUUCAUAUUAGCUGUUCUAUUUGGACUAUACCCAACCUGAUCAGGAUGUAUAAUCUUGUCCUUCUUAAGUCUGUCUGCCAGUACUGAUGCAAAUAACUUCAGGUCAUUAUUCAAGAGUGAGAUGGGCCUAUAAUUUUCCAUUUUAGUAGGACACUAGCCCUGCUUCAAUAUUGGUAUUAUAUUGGCUCUUAGUAAUUCCUCUGGAAAUGCUCCUGUUUGUGUUGCUUCAUUAAUCAUUCCUACCAAAUGAGGAAGAAAAAGAUCACUACAUUUCUUAUAAAAAAGACCAGUAUAUUCAUCUGGUCCCGGAGUUUUUUGCCUUUCCAAUCUAUGUAAUGCCCUAGCUAAUUCAUCUUCUGUAAUGCUCUUAUUUAAUUUUUUUGUUUGAGUUUUGGACACUUUGAGAGUGUACUAGCCUGAAGACAUGUUUCUAUUAAUUCUUUAUCUCUAUUUUUUAAAAUUAUAUAAUGAGCUAUAAAAAGAUUUAAAAGCUUGUGCUAUUAAAGUUGGAUUAUAUAUUGGUCCAUUAUUUUGUUUAAUUUUUGAAAUUCGGUUAUUGGUCUUUUCAGUGGCGUACUAAGGGUGGGGGGUGCCAUGACCAGCCCCGCCGCCCCCCCCCAUGCUGCAGCCGCCCGAGCGCUCUGUAGUGAGCCACAGGCGGCUGCAGCUUUGCCCGGGCGGUGCGUCCAUGAGGGCGGACCGCACCGCCCGGACGCAGCCUGAGGAGAGGCUGACAGGAGGGAAGCGCUCAGCGCUCCCUCCUGUCACUCCCUCUGUAGUAGCGUGGCCGAGCCCUGUAUAGUCGGUGGGUACAGGGAGCAGCUGUCUCCUGUACCCGGCCGGACUAACAGGAAGUGUGCACUUCCUGUUAGUCCGGCCGGGUACAGGAAACAAAAGCUCCCUGUACCCGCGGACUAUACAGGGCUCGGCCACGCUACAGCGAGGUAGGGGGGUGAGAAAGAAGGGGGAGAGGAGGGGUGAGAGAGAGAAAUAAGGGGGGUGAGAAGGAANNNNNNNNNNNNNNNNNNNNNNNNNNNNNNNNNNNNNNNNNNNNNNNNNNNNNNNNNNNNNNNNNNNNNNNNNNNNNNNNNNNNNNNNNNNNNNNNNNNNGGAGGGGGGAAGAGAAAUUAGGAGGGAGGGAGAGAUAUUAGGAGGCGGGAGAGAUAUUAGGAGGGGGGGAAAGAGAAAUUAGGGCGGGAGAGAAAUAGAAAUUGGGGGGGAGAGAAAUUAGAGAGAAAUUAGGAGGGGGGAGAGAAAUUAGGGGGAAAGAGAAAUUAGGAGGGGGGGUGAGAAAGAGAAAUUGGGAGGAGGAGAAGGAAAUUGGAGUGGGAGGAGAGAUUGACAUUCAUCACAUACACACAAUGCACCCCUUGCACACAGAAAAACACACAAUGCAUUACACACACAGACACACAUACACAAGCAAUGCAACCGUUACACACAAUGCAUCCCUUACACACACAGAAACACACAAUGCAUUCAUUACACACACUCAAUGCACCCCUUACACACAUUCAAUGCAUCCCAUACAUACACAGAAACACACCUUGCAGCCCUUACACAUACAAACACAAUUUCACACAAUGCAUUCCUUACACACAUAUCAGGACAUCCCCUACACACUCCACCCCCUGUGAACAAACUCAUUGGUGGAACAUGAAGGUGGACCCUGGGACCCAGACCUUGAGCUGUGUAAAGGACCCCCAAAAAAUGGAGCUGCUUCCCGUUCUCCCAGAACAUUGAUUUUUGUGACCACAGUUACAAACCGCCUCCAGAGAGCCUGUUCUGCCCAUCAUCAUCCUCAUCUGGUUGUAAGUAGGCAAUCUAGUAUAUUAUUCGUGGCACUAAGCUCUAAUUUACCUCACAUUAAAGAAACACUAUACAGGGAGUGCAGAAUUAUUAGGCAAGUUGUAUUUUUGAGGAUUAAUUUUAUUAUUGAACAACAACCAUGUUCUCAAUGAACCCAAAAAACUCAUUAAUAUCAAAGCUGAAUAUUUUUGGAAGUAGUUUUUAGUUUGUUUUUAGUUAUAGCUAUGUUAGGGGGAUAUCUGUGUGUGCAGGUGACUAUUACUGUGCAUAAUUAUUAGGCAACUUAACAAAAACAAAUAUAUACCCAUUUCAAUUAUUUAUUAUUACCAGUGAAACCAAUAUAACAUCUCAACAUUCACAAAUAUACAUUUCUGACAUUCAAAAACAAAACAAAACAAAAACAAAUCAGUGACCAAUAUAGCCACCUUUCUUUGCAAGGACACUCAAAAGCCUGCCAUCCAUGGAUUCUGUCAGUGUUUUGAUCUGUUCACCAUCAACAUUGCGUGCAGCAGCAACCACAGCCUCCCAGACACUGUUCAGAGAGGUGUACUGUUUUCCCUCCUUGUAAAUCUCACAUUUGAUGAUGGACUACAGGUUCUCAAUGGGGUUCAGAUCAGGUGAACAAGGAGGCCAUGUCAUUAGAUUUUCUUCUUUUAUACCCUUUCUUGCCAGCCACGCUGUGGAGUACUUGGACGCGUGUGAUGGAGCAUUGUCCUGCAUGAAAAUCAUGUUUUUCUUGAAGGAUGCAGACUUCUUCCUGUACCACUGCUUGAAGAAGGUGUCUUCCAGGAACUGGCAGUAGGACUGGGAGUUGAGCUUGACUCCAUCCUCAACCCGAAAAGGCCCCACAAGCUCAUCUUUGAUGAUACCAGCCCAAACCAGUACUCCACCUCCACCUUGCUGGCGUCUGAGUCGGACUGGAGCUCUCUGCCCUUUACCAAUCCAGCCACGGGCCCAUCCAUCUGGCCCAUCAAGACUCACUCUCAUUUCAUCAGUCCAUAAAACCUUAGAAAAAUCAGUCUUGAGAUAUUUCUUGGCCCAGUCUUGACGUUUCAGCUUGUGUGUCUUGUUCAGUGGUGGUCGUCUUUCAGCCUUUCUUACCUUGGCCAUGUCUCUGAGUAUUGCACACCUUGUGCUUUUGGGCACUCCAGUGAUGUUGCAGCUCUGAAAUAUGGCCAAACUGGUGACAAGUGGCAUCGUGGCAGCUGCACGCUUGACUUUUCUCAGUUCAUGGGCAGUUAUUUUGCGCCUUGGUUUUUCCACACGCUUCUUGCGACCCUGUUGACUAUUUUGAAUGAAACGCUUGAUUGUUCGAUGAUCACGCUUCAGAAGCUUUGCAAUUUUAAGAGUGCUGCAUCCCUCUGCAAGAUAUCUCACUAUUUUUGACUUUUCUGAGCCUGUCAAGUCCUUCUUUUGACCCAUUUUACCAAAGGAAAGGAAGUUGCCUAAUAAUUAUGCACACCUGAUAUAGGGUGUUGAUGUCAUUAGACCACACCCCUUCUCAUUACAGAGAUGCACAUCACCUAAUAUGCUUAAUUGGUAGUAGGCUUUCGAGCCUAUACAGCUUGGAGUAAGACAACAUGCAUAAAGAAGAUGAUGUGGUCAAAAUACUCAUUUGCCUAAUAAUUCUGCACUCCCUGUAGUCCCCAGAACCACUUCAGCUUAAUGUAGUGGUUCUGGUGUCUAUAGCCUGUUGCUGCAGGCCUUUUAAUGUAAACAAGGCGGCACUGCAGCACUGGCGUUAGUUAACAUGGCAAAUCAUAUGGGUGGGGCAUUGUGAUGUCACAUGGGGGGGGGCAAACUUUACUUUUGCCUAGGGCGGCAAAAUUCCUUGCACCGGCCCUGGCUGGAGGGGGCUGUGUGAGCUGUGGCCGCACAGUGUCCCAUGGUAGUUAGGGUGCCGUGCGGCCAGUACAACUCACACAAGCAAACAGCUGAUAAACUGGCCGCACGGAGGAAAUGUGUAUGUGUGACUGUCUGCCUGUGACUGUGUGUGACUGUCUGCCUGUAACUGAGUGUGUGACUGUCUGCCUGUAAAUGAGUGUGUGGGGCUGCAGGGAUUUUGUAGAAGGGGGCGGGGGUUUUGUAUUGGGACAGGAGUCUUUAUAAGGGGGGAUAAGCAGGGGAUUUGUGGAAGGGGGUUGCGGGGUUUUGUAGACUGGGCAGUACAGGAUUUGUAGAAGGGGCAGGACAGAGGUUUUGUAGGAGGGGUGGGGCAGUACAAGGGUUUUGUAGGAGGGGCUGACAGCGGUUUUGCAAAGUUUACAAAUUGUAAAAAAAAAGAAAGAAAAACUUUAACAUUUUUUACUGUUUUUUUUUUUUGCAGUGGGGGGAGGGUGGGGGAUGGGGGGGGUGCCAAGCACAGGAUCCGCCCCGGGUGCCAAAUGUUCUAGGUACGCCCCUGGGUCUUUUGAUUUUUUAGCCUAUUUGAAAGAAGUCUAUUAGUCUUAUUAUUGUUGUUAUAAUAACUAAUUUUUAAUUUAGACAUAAUAAUAGCAAUUUUUUUUUAGUUUUAGAUUUAUUUUUUUCUUAUAUUUUAAUCAGAUCAGAUAAUUUAUCAUAAGAGGGAUUCAUUUUAUUUUCUUUCAGAUAGUGAUAAGCCACUUUAAAAAAAAUCAUUUCUGCUUUCAGUUUAAUAAAAUAACCCCUUAACUGAUUUAAAUAUUCACCGAUUAUUGGUCCAUGAUGUAUCCUCUGGUUUAUUAGUUUCAAAGACAUUUUUAAGUCAUUCAGCCACUAUUUCUUUGCUUUUCUGAUUUUUUAACAGAAAAUCAUUUAAUUUCCAGGUUGAUCUUUUGCCUUUUCCAUAUUCAUCCUUCAAUUCCAGAUAUACUAUAUUGUGAUCCUACCAUGUAUUAUCCUUAAUCCAGGUUUUACUAAUUUUCCUUAAUACAGAAUUGUCCCCUAGGAACAUAUCUAUCAUAGAGUAGGAAAGGUGGGUAUAUUCAGUAUCUGUUGGAUGAGUUAUUCUCCAUAGGUCUAAAAGAUCAUAUUUACAGAUUGUUCUAUUUCAGUUUUUUGCUUGUUUAAUUGCUCUUGGAUCUAGUUUAUUAUUUGAUAGAGAUUUUUAUAUUCAUAAGCGUCUAUUACAAAUUUAAAAUCUCCACCUGUGAUACAAAGACCCAUCUUAAUCUCUUCUUUUUUUUCCAAAAUUUUCUUUAAGAAGCAUACUGGUGCAAAGUUUGGGAGAUAUAUAUUAAUUAACGUAUGUAUCACCUCAUUAAUCCUACAUAUUAGUAUUAGAUAUCAUCCCAGGAGAUCUGAAUAUUGACAAAUAAUCUCAAUUUUUAAAUAUAUUGAGAAUCGUAUUACAACCCCAUUUUGUUUUUUAUCUGGAUUUGAAGCACUAAAUAAAAAAGGGGAAUGUGUACCUCCUAAAGAUAUUUCUUGUGUCGGUUUCCAGUGGGUUUCUUGCAAGAAAACCAUGUCAAUAUGCUCUUUUGUCAAAACUUUUUGAACAAUGGAUCUCUUUUGUGGGGUGUUUAAUCCCUGGACAUUGAUCAAUCCUAAUCUACAACAACACCAACAUGUAUUUCCACCUCUCCAUAGAGAUGAGAGUGGAAAAAAAACAGUCCAUAAGGAAAAAGGAACUCAGCACCCUUUGCUGGUUCCAUCCAAACAAAAUUUAAAUAACCCAAUUUCAUUAUACCGUCAUUUAUAGUGAAGUUCAGAGGGAGGUAGGGGAAGCAUUUUUACUACAAAAAAUUUGAGACCUAUUUGACAUGUUUAUCUCUACCAAUUUCGUCUUAGUCUAGUCUUAUUCUAAACUCUUAAUUCUAUUCCUUUUUCCCAGAUGUACUUUAAGCAUAGAAGAAAAAAAGAAAAAUUAAAAAGUUAAAUAAUUAAGUGAUUAAAUGCUUAAAUGCCCCCUCCAUCCAUCCUCCCCCACCAUCCCAGAUGUGCUUACUCAAAAUGGGAGGCAGGAGAAGAAGAGAGACAGGGCACAUUCGUAAAAUAGGGAAACAUUCCUCAUUUAGUAAUAGCAAAUUAUUAGUACAGUAGCAUAAACAAUAACAAUUUUAUUUUACUUAUUCAUUUAAAUGCAUUGCCACUCUUAUGUUGUUAAUUAUAUUUUCCCUCUCUUCCUUUUUCCUUUUCUCUUCCUCUCUGCCCUGUGUCACUUUUAUAAUUUCAAAGUUUGUAUAUUAAAUAAAUAAAAAUAAAUGUCUAAGUGGAGUACCAUACAUAAUAGAUUAUUUAUUCUAGUGUUUAAUAUCGUCUAUUUUACUUUUACAACCAUCUAAAGUGUUUAUGUGCUUUACCAAUCAUGAUGUAUUAAUUAUUCAUUACAGUAUAACUUUUAUAUCCUCAAAAAUUGGUGUGUCCACCCCCCAUCUCCCCUCACCAUUCCAGCAGAUUGUGACAGGAGGGAGAAAGGAGAAAGAGAGAACAAACCUUAAUCAUCCAGGCACUUCAAAAAAGUGUGCAGAUGUAAAAAUAAAUAAAUAAAUAAAUAAAUAUUCUUUUUGAAUUCCAGUGUCCAGAAAUAGAAAGGAAUAAAAGGGAGAAAAACAAAUUCUUAUUUCCAAGUCUUACUGAGGCACUUAAUUAAUUUAUCAGCUUUCAUCCAUCUGUCAAGACUUUCAACAGAAUCCAAAAAUGUUGUUUUUCCAUUCCAAAAAACACUUAAAGAUUAUGAGAAGCCCCAUCUGAAUUUGACAUUGUUCUGUUUCAAAAUGGGGAUUUUUGCAGUACAAGUGUUACACCAUCUUCUUGUUUGAUAGGAGAGAUCUUAUAAUGUUCUUAAAUUCUGGACUUUUUGUUGGGUGCUCGCUAUACACUUUUAAUAAUUUCUUGUUAAAGGAAUGGACCAAAAACGUCACCAUUACAUCUCUUGGCUUUAAAUCAUCUAUAUCCUUGGGCUUUUGUAAAUGGUGUAUUCUCUCAAUUUUUGUUUCAAACGUAUCUGUAUCAAGUGAAAGAUCUAUUAAGAAAUUUAUAACCAAGGUCUCUAAAUUGCUGGGAUCAAUUUCCUCUGGUAUAUUUUUCAUCCUUAUAUACGAUCAUCUUGAUCUGUUUUCUAAAUAAUUUAUUUUCAGAUGCAUAUUUUUAACUUUCAACUCUAGCUGUAAUAUCUUUCCUGCAGGUUUUUUUAUGAUCUUGCUCAAAGGAAUUGAUUUUCUCUUCCAGUGUGGUUAAUCAGUCUGCUACUUUGUUAAUUUUCUGUUUGAUUUCUUUGGAGUGUUUGCUAAUCUCAAGUAUUAAUGUUUGCAAUUGAUUUUCUAUAUUUUGCUUCAUAAAUUCUUAUACAUUUUCUGGAGUUUCAUCCUCUUGAUCUUCUCUGGUCAACAUUAUAGACAUAUCAGAUGUAUCGUUUUCUGAUAAAUUUUUGGUAUUAAUUGGAGGAAAAAAAGCCUAAUAAUCUUUUCUCUGCUUUUUCAGCUUUAACAUUUUUCAUUUCUUUUUUCCUUUCAGUUGAUGUUUUUUUUUGUGGCCAUUAUUCAGUUUCUCCUCCGUUUCCUUUCUCUUUUCCCUUCAUUUUUUGAGCUUUGCUAUCUCCAACUCAAGUUUAAUAUGUUUUUUUUUUAGUGUAGUAUGAUUCUUUUAAAUUUAAUCCUUUCAAUUGAGCUGUCCAUUUAGAGAGAGGAGUGAAGAAAAAUAAAACACAACAGAAAAAAAAGAAAGGGAAAAACAAUACCAAAAGGUAGCAAAAGAGUAACAGUAAUGAAAUAUAUCCCCACUUUAACCUCUUUUUUUUCCUCCUCUAUAAUUUUUCUAUUACUCACAGACCUAAGUUCCUUUAUUUGAAAGAUAAAAGGGAUCCCCCUUAAUUCUCAGCAUGUGUAAUAAGCAGGUCCCCCCUUUCCAAGGGAAAGCAUGGGAUUUACUCCUCACUCCAGUUUGGUACAAUACCACAUCACCAGAUAGCCAGCCGUCGCCUGUCUGAAAUCCCACGUGCACCUACUGUUCAAGCCUGAGCUCCAAUUCUCCAGUCUUUGCUUACAGCCAAACCUCUGCCCAGUGACUCCCAGACAGGGGACUCUCCCAACUCAGGGGGAACACGAGGGUCACUCCUUCCUCUGGUCUGGCACAAAAUCACGGCACUGGAGAACCAGCAGUCGCCAACCUCCAGUCUCACGCACUCCUGCUACCCGAGCCUGGUCUCCUGUCCUCCUCUCACCGCCCACAACCGAGGUUCUGUUUCAUGUCUCUCAAAUGGUCUCACUUCACCUUAUCGCCGCACGGCAUUCUCAGCUCGGUGUCUUCCUUAUCCUGCUCCACCUUCUACCGCCUGUCAGCGUGAUGACCUUAUGUCAUGACGUUGUGACAAGAUGAUGAUAUUGCUGAAUUUGUAGGUUAAAAAAAACCCCUACAUUUAUUUUUGAGGGGCAAACAAACCGGUCUUAUCAAAAGGUUUUAUAGAUAACUAAAAAGUUUAAAGAUUUUUUUUUAAAUAGAAGUGUUUUUAUUAUUGUUGGAAUUGUAUGGGGUGUUUAUUAACCCCUCAAGGAUGGAGCCAAAUGUACACGUUGUGAACGAAACAAAAUGUAAACAAAACCUGGCAUGUGCGCUACAUGUCUGUCCAAUCGUAAUUCACCUCUUUCAUAUUAAAUGCACCCACCCUUAUUAUAUAUCAUUUUAUUCAGGGGAAACAGGGCUUUCAUUUAAUAUCAAAUAUUUAGCUAUGAAACAUAAUUUACUAUGAAAAAAAUGGGAGAAAAUAAGAUUUUUUUUUUUUUUUUUAGUUCAACAUGACACUUUAACUGUCAAUGUCAUAAUACUGUUUGCUUUUACUGCAAUAAAAUACACAUAUUUGUAUUCAGCGAUGUCUCACGUGUAAAACAGCACCCCCUAUGUACAGGUUUUAUAGCGUUUUGGGAAGUUACAGGGUCAAAUAUAGCACGUUACAUUUGAAAUUGAAAUUCGCCAGAUUGGUUAUGUUGCCUUUGGGACUUUAUAGUAGCCCUGGAAUGAAAUUUACACCCAUAAUGGCAUACCAUUUGCAAUAGAAGACAACCCAAGGUAUUGCAAAUGGGGUAUGUCCCGUCUUUUUUAGUAGCCAUUUGGUCACAAACACUGGCCAAAGUUAGCGUUAGAAUUUGUUUGUGUGUUAAAAAUGCAAAAAACGCCAAUUUUGGCCAGUGUCUGUGACUAAGUGGCUACUAAAAAAGACUGGACAUACCCCGUUUGCAAUACCUUGGGUUGUCUACUAUUGCAAAUGGGGUAAUUUUCAUUCUUGGGCUACCAUUGGGUCUCAAAGGCAAUGUACCCAAUCUGGCGAAUUUUAAUGUGAAAAAAAUGAAACACAAGCCUUAUAUUUGAUGCUGUAACUUUUGAAAACACCAUAAAACCUGUACAUGAGGGGUACUGUUGUACUCGGGAGACUUUGCUGAACACAAAUAUUUGUGUUUCAAAACAGUAAAAAGUAUCGCAGGAAUAAAAUCGUCCGUGUAAGUGCUGUUUGUGCGUGAAAAAUGCAAAAAAAUUCACUUUUACUUGCGAUAUCAUCGUUGUAAUACAUUUUACUGUAUUGAAACACUAAGAUUUGUGUUUAGCGAAGUCCCCCGAGUAGAACAGUACCCCCCAUGUACAGGUUUUAUGGUGUCUUGGAAAGUUAUAGGGUUAAAUAUAGUGCUAGCAAAUUAAAUUCCCUUUACUUUCGGCAUGGGUUGUCAGGCAGGUCCUGCUAAUUGUAAUUAAUUAAGAUACCCAAUUAUGUAAAAUGAUUACAUAAAUAUAUAUGUAGAGUCAAUAUAUGUAUAUAUAUAUAUAUAUAUAUAUAUAUAUGUGAAUAUAUAUGUAUAUAUAUAUAUAAUUUUUUUUAAAUAUUUGUAUUUAUAUAUAGGUACCGUAUAUAUAUAUAUAGUGAUAUGUACGUAUAUAUUUAUGUUUAUAGAUAUAUAUUAUUUCGUUCUACGUGUAUUUUGAUAUAAAUAUAUAUAUAUAUAUUAAUAUCACAAUACAGUUAGAACGAAAUAACACAUCUAUAUAUUUUUUAAUUAUUUUUUGUUUAUUAUUUAAAAUUUUUUAACGUAUUUACAUAUUUAAUUUUUUUAUAUUAUAUAUAAAUAUAUAUAUAACAAUAAUUAUAUAUAUAUUUAAUCAGUAUCAGUCUACGUGUAAUUUGAUAUUAAUAUAUAUAAAUAUAAUUAUAUAUAUAUUAAUAGUAAAAUACACCUGACAGUGUACGUGUGUGCAUGUAUAUGUGUAUAUAUAUACUUAGAUCAUAUAUAUAUAUUAUAUAUAUAUAUAUAUAAUAUAUAUAUAUAUGAUCUAAGUAUAUAUUAUUUUUUUUUACACUUUUUUUUAUUUUUAUUCUUUAUUUUUGAAUUCAGGCAUGGAGCUUCACAUAUCAUACAUGUAUCGUGUCAUCUUUACAAUACCAUGGUAACGAAUUACCCAGAUAUCCUUUCGGUAACAUAUCGCAUCAUAUGGAAUUAUCAAGCACUACAAUUAUCAAGCACUACACUCCUCUGAUUUUGCCCAUUUUCAGGAUGACCCGGUAUGUCUGGGUCUAUACAGCAGUUGAUUACACGUCAAUAUGUAUGUUAACCAUACGUUGUCUGUGCGGGUCUGUUAAAGGGCCUUCUAAGACAAGCCUAUACCUCGUUAUAUACGGUAUAUAUGCAUUUUUCUACUGCUGUGGGGCCUUGCUAUUCCCGUAUUGGUGGGGACUGCCCUUGCCCAUGAGAUGCCCGCUAUUCAGAGAGUCUGUCUUCCUAUCAGCUGUUGAAAUUAUAGCUCCAUACUGAACUUGUUUGUAAGGUAAAUGGGGGGGGAGUGGAGGGGGGGUGCAGGUAGGGUCAGGGCCAUACAGGAUACGCCCUCUGCUGGUGUGUCUCAUGGCGUCUGCGCCAUUCUGUCCACAUAGUCCUCCCAUGGUUGCCACACUUUUGAGAAGGUGCCCAUGGUAUUCCGAAUCUGCGCUGUCAAUUUGUCCAUUAGGCAGUUGUCUUUUAUUUUAUGGAUUACUCAGUGUAUAGAGGGGGCGUCCGGGCUGAGCCAUUGUUGGGUCAGCGCCCUUCUGGCCGCUAAGGUAAUUUUAUUAACUAGUUUCUGUUCUCUUGCCGUCAAGUCAUCUUGUGGUUUAGCUAGCAGGUAAGUCCAAGGGUCUUUGUGUAUUGGUCGUGCUAGUAUUGUCGUCAUCAGCUUCUCUAUGUCUGACCAGUAUCUGGCCACUUUGGGACAUGUCCACCACAUGUGGACGUAUGAUCCCCGCUGUCCGCAGCCCCUCCAGCAUGUGUCCGUGGUGGUUUUCCCCAUUUUAAAUAAUUUAGCUGGUGUGGUGUACCAUCUCAGGAGGGUUUUGUAUGCCUGUUCCUGAAGUGUUACACACACGGACACCUUCGCUACUGCUUCCCAUAUGUCCCUCCAGUCCUCCCCUUCCAGUGUCUGAUGGAGAUCCUGUUCCCAUUGGGUGACAUAAUUAAGGGGUGCUUCGUCUCUCCCCGGGGCGCUAAGUUGUGCAUAUAAUGUGGUGAUCAGGCCCUUAUGGGUUGAUUCGGUGAUACACAGUUUCUCAUAGCUAGUUAGUGGGGUCCUAGCUGCCUUUCGUAUUCCAGGGCGUGUCGCGAAAUCGUGUAGUUGGAUGUAUCUAAAUAGGUCUUUUGUUUGCAGCGGUGCAGUUUGUUUCAGCUCCUCAAACGAUUUAAAUGUGUCCCCAUCAUAUAAAUGGUAGUACCUUUGUAGGCCUGUGUAUUCCAACCCUUUAAAGUCUCGUGCCCGUAAGCCUGGAGGGAAUGCUUUAUUUCUUAGAUAUGGGGUGAGGGGUGAGGGAGUGCUGGUCAGUGCGUAUUUAUGUGCGGUUGCAUCCCAGACUCUGAUGGAGUUAGUUAUGGCUGGGCAGCUUGUGCGCAGGGCAGGUCUGUCUAAUUUUGGAACCCAAAUCCAAUAUUGAGGGAGAUCUGAUCCCAUCAUUAGGGACUCCAAGUCUACCAUCUGCGUGCCUCAGGGGGUGAGUGCCACUCUAUUAUUUGGGCUAAUUGCGCUGAUAGAUAGUAUAAGUGGAAGUUAGGCAGACCCAAUCCCCCCAGUCCUUUAGGUCGGUAGAGAGUGUUUCGGGCUAUUCUAUGCCGUUUGUGCGUCCAUAUAAAUUUGUCUAUUGUGGUUUGUAGGAGCUGGAGAUCCCCUUUUGUAACUUUGAUGGGCAGCGCCUGGAACAGGAACAGCAUCCUCGGUAAGACAUUCAUUUUGAUAGCAUGGAGCCUACCAAUCCAUGAGAUCGGCUUUUCAUGCCAUUUUUCCAGGUCUUUAAUUAAUGUUUUUAUCAUUGGUGUGUAAUUUUCCUGAAAUAGUCGUGUGAUGUCCGUCGUUAAUCGUACUCCCAGGUAUUUUAUGUGCUGGUGGUUAAGUUUAAUGUGUGUCUUUGUCCCCAGCAGCGCCGCGUCCUCUGCCGUCAGCCCCAGCGGCAUGGCCCCCGAAUUUCCCAGAUUUAUAUUAUAGCCCGACACUUGCGCAAAUUCCCCCAAUAGGUGGAUCAGGUUUGGGAGGGAGCUUUUCACAUCUGUGAGCGUUAGUAGGAUAUCAUCCGCAUAUGCGGAUACCUUAAAUUGUUCUGUGGCUACUGUCAGCCCCGUUAUUUUGGGGUGUUCCCUGAUCUUGUGCAGGAGGGGUUCUAGGGCCAGUAUAAAGAGAAGUGGCGAGAGCGGGCAGCCCUGUCGUGUGCCAUUGCUUAGUUUGAAUGGUUUCGGAGUCGCUCCUGGUAUGGCGAUCUGAGCCUGUGGGUUCGUAUAUAAUGCUCUAACCGCUGUAAUGUAGUUGUCUAGUAGGCCGAUAUGGCGCAAGAGGGCGAACAAAUAAUGCCAUUGGAUCCUGUUGAAGGCCUUCUCCGCGUCCAACGAAAGGACCAGAGAAGGCGUUCGAGUCUGCCCGGCCCACCAGAUCAGGUCCACCACCCGCCGGGUGUUGUCGUAGAGUUGCCUGGUAGGUACAAAGCCCACCUGGUCCGCAUGGACCAAUCUGGGCAGAAUAUGUCCCAGCCUGGUGGCCAGGAUUUUAGCGUAUAUUUUAGUGUCAACAUUGAUUAGGGAAAUGGGGCGGUAAUUAGUAACUUUCGUUUCGUCACGCCCCGGCUUUGGGAUUAGUAUCACCGCCGCCGUGGCCAGCUCCACGUUGGGUCGCCCCCCUUCCAUCCAUUCCUGGUACAUUGCUGUCAGGUGUGGUACCAGUUCUGCAUGUAGUGUUUUAUAAUAGACCCCAUCGAAUCCAUCUGGACCCGGAGCUCUAUUGCCCUCUAUCACCCCUAUAGCCCUUUCCACCUCCUCUAUUGUGAUGGGUGCCUGCAGUUCAAUGACGUCUUCCCUAGUGGGCAUGGGGAGGUUAACCCCUCCAGGAAUCUCGCCACCUCCUCUACAUGUUCCUGUUCGUGCCGUCCAGUCCGGGCGAGUGGUUAUAUAGUUUUUGUAAAAAGUUUGUGAAUUCCUCUGCAAUUGCCUGUGGGGAUGUGAGGGUUUGGCCCCUGUCGUUGGUGACGGACGUAAUGUGCUUGUGUUUUUGUUUGGGUCUGAGGGCCCUAGCUAACAACGUGUCCAUCUUGUUGGACUUUUCAUAGAAGAGUCUUCUUGAACGGGUGAGAUCCCUGCUCACCUCGUCCAAGAGGAGGUCUCUCAGGGUACGUCUGAUAUUCUGUAUUUCGUCCAGCUUGUUCUGUGUCGGGUUCUGUUUAUGUUGCAUUUCCUUUGUGCGCAGUGCCGUCUGCAGUUCUGUGAGUUUGGCUAAUUUUAGUUUUUUAAGGUAAAUCGCUAUUUUUAUUAUGGUCCCCCUGAGAACUGCCUUAUGGGCCGCCCAUAUUGUGGUCGAGGAUACGUCCUCCGUGGCAUUUAGCUGAAAGUAGUUGGUUAUUUCAGUCUGGAGCUGUCCAAGGACCUCCGAGUUCUUAAGAAGGGAGUUAUUUAGUCUCCAGCUCCCCGGGGUCUGAGGUCCUGGUGUCUUCAGGGUUAGUGUGAUGUCAGCUAUAUAUUUUUUUUUUAUAUAUAUAUAUUUUUUUUUAAUAGAUACCCCCUGCCGUUUCCCCCCCUCCCACCGUCUCCUAGUGCCGUGACCCCCGUGCCCCAGCUGUCCCCCAUGUCAUAACUGUAAUGUCAGCGUUAGUGUUCUAAGUAAAACAUUUUUAAAGUCAGCAUGCAAUAAUAAAAGCAACUUGCGUGUCCCACUGUCCAUGACGUGUGUCUUUCCAUCACGGGCCUCCACCGCGUCUGCCUAGGUGGGGCGCGACCCAUGCUCUGCCCAGUCCCUGGGAAGGAGGUCCAGUGCCCUGGGGCCUCUCGGUGGCAGGGUGAGAUCAUCUGGUACUUGGAUCCCCAGGUCACGAAGGACCCCCCUGGGGUCCAUGGACGGCAACAGGACUGUAGGUCUCAGGCCAUUGAAGAUCAGCAUUUUAAAGGGGAAUCCCCAGGCGAAGCGUAGGCCUUUUUCUCUGACGAGGUCCGCGAUGGGUUUCCAUUCCCUCCUUCUCACCAGGGUCGCUGGGGCGAUAUUUUUUUACACUUUUAACAUUUAUUUGAAAUUAUUUUCAGCCAGCAGGGGGACCACCUGUCAUUACAGGCAGCCCUCCUGCUGGCAAUACAGAAGCCAGCUAUCCCGGCCAUGUGAUUGUGAGGUCCUCGCAAGGACCUCACUCUCACAUGGCCAAGGGGGCUUUCAGGGGGUCGGAAGUGUCACGGGGGGCUCCCUGGGAGUCCCCCCAACCGGGAUCGCCGGCGACAGUGUAAGUAAAGAAAGACCGGAGGGCGUACUAUUACGCCCGGCGGCGUUUAGAGACGCCUAAAAUAGGGCGUAAUAGUACGCCCUCCGGUCUUAAGGGGUUAAAUACCAGAAAAGAUAAAAAGAUUGGAAAAUUUAAAUAAUUGAAAACAAAAAAGAAACACAAAAUAUAAACUUGUAAUAUGAAACAUAUAAUGUAUUAAUUAACUCGCCUGUGUGGAUAAGAAAUAUGUUGGAAAAAUCUCAAGAUUAUUGAAAAGAAAAGUUAAGAAGCAUACUGGCAAUAUUAGGAGGAGAUUAGGAGUUAAUAAAGAAUUAAAUCUAAGAAAAAUAGCAAUGAAAUGGAUAUUAAAUUUGGGCACUAUAAUACCAAAUGGUUUAAAGUUGAUUGUGGGAAGUAAUGCCAUUUGUAUAAAUUUACUCUCAACUUUUAUUAUAUUUUAUAUAGUUUAUACAUUUUUUUCAAUUUAUAUUUUUUUAUUAUAGCAUAGCUAGGUGUACAGGUAUGAUACAACCUUUCUCCAAACACUGGCCCAUACUUCUACACAAUUCCACACUGAAACAGUCAUUACCUAACCAUCCAUCAAUUACAGCUCGAAGAUCUAAGAAUUUAAAAGACCUUUUGGGGGGCGGGGCCAGACCCUGGAACUGAUUGGCAGCCAUCUUUGAGAGCUCCUGCCAAAAAAAAGCACAAAAUUAGGCAAUUUCCUCACGUUUUUACCGGCUUGCAUGACAGAAGCACACAGGGGAAUACCCCUGCUUUCAACUGAUGCCCAUCCGCUACCGACUUACCUUAGGAAAAACCUAUACGAGCAUCUCAGGCCUACAUCCCACGCUUACAAUGGUGGACCGGAUCUGGCGGGUCUAGAGGGGGCCUCUAGGCUCCAACUGACCCACCCUGAUUGCUGAGCGGCAACACAGAUGCGAAGAUGUAACAGCCUUGUGAGGGUAUGAAUCCCGGCCCCGCUCCCCCCCCCAAGCCGGUGGGGGUUAUCCUGGCCACCUGUACAUUCAUUGCCACUGCUAACUUUACUCCCGUGGUGAGCCCUGCAUUCACCUUGAACCUGAAUGCCUCAUCCAGCAAGGAAUGCACACCAGUGCUACAUUGGCACUUGGAGGACAAAGGGGGAGCCGGAGGCACUACGCAUGGGUGGCGGGACCUGACAUGCAAUUACUGUGGCGUCCAUGGAUCCGACUGCCAUGAAGUCUGGACCCCGAGUCUGCGCCAUGCUGGGAGUGUGGAGCCGUCGCACCUAGGUUUUGAGGGGGACCUGGAUGAACUUGUCCCCAAAGCCGUGAGCCCUGGGGGACCAGAAAACGAAAACGGAGGCCUCCAGCAGACCGGUAGCUGUGAGGACAGCCAAAGCUGGCCCUGAGCGGCCGGAGAUGGAAGAGACAAUUGACGGCCUACAUCUUACCCUGCUGGAGAUCUUGUGGUGUGGUGGGGGUGCAGGAGACACCCAGUGCAUGGACUUUAGAGGGGGGGUCCUGUGGACUGGUGGGUUUCCGAGUGCCUGCUGAGCUAUGAGACUCUCGGCUGGAGGCCUGGUGCGGCCUUGGGAACUGCUGACGGAUGGCCGGGGGCCCUGGGGUGUCCCGUGGGGGUGCAUAUGGCUGGUCUCCUGCCUGUGCGCUCUCCGCCUGCUGCUCCCCCUGCUGUGCAUGGGACAGGACACAAGCAUGAAGGAAAGACCAUUGCACAUGUCAUCUUUGCAAUUGAUUUAACUACCUAACCCAUUUUUACUUUGGCGUGAUGGAACGCCUGGGGACAAGUGCACAGCAACAGACCCAAGGGAGCUUAGAGGGAAACCUUCUCCGAAGCUCACACGAGGGUCUUCACGUACUCCCUACACCCCAUUCUUGACUCUGCCGAGAGUCCAGAACUUUACCUUCUACUUCUUUUCAACUUAAAUGUAUUUAUUUUUUUUCACUUUAAACAAGUACAAAUCCUUAGGUUACACUUCCUGGGGCUGGCUCAGGUUCUGAGUUAUUAGUUAAAAAUGCAGGAAUAAGAGUUUGGUUACUAUGUUUAACUUGAAGUAAAAAUGCAGGAAUAAGAGUUUGGUUACUAUGUUUAUCUUGAAGUAAACUACCAUGGCCCAGCUAUAUAGCCUAACAAUGCACUAAAUAACAGAGUUGGAUUAUGAGGACCCACAUAGUAAGCUCAUUGCCUAGACAACCCUGACACAAAAGGUCAAUAUAGAUAACACGCUGCCUUAUUACCCUGAUUAGCCAUUUACAUACACUCAGGUAACGCUGGCGGACGAUAGCUUACGUAUUGCCUCAUCUGUAAUACACGCAGACCCCGAGGUCAGGUUGCUACCCUAGAGUAUGCAGUUUUAUUAUUAUUAGCACAUUCUCUGACACAAGCACCCGCCUCCCUGGGACACCACCACCCUCCCCACAAGUGACAACUUUGAUUUAUAUGCCCACAUAGAACUAAACCAGAGCAUGGCUCUAUAUAUCCUUUUUGAUGGUAUUCCAGGCGGAAAUAGGAUAUAAGACAUUACGAAUAAUUAUGCCCUAACACCCUAUGCUCUCGCCCACUUGCUACCUUAGCCUAUCAAUGCACUCACUAAUAAAGUUAGAUUACGAAGGAACACAUAGUACCGCCACCACCUUAAGAACUUUAUACAUUUAUUAACUACAGCUACCAUAACUUGUAUAAUACCUUAAUACCAUCAUGACAUUGCUAUGCACCUAGGCUGGGUCCAGAGAGAAUGGCUUGUGCUACCUUUCCACGGUAUCAUAUAUAGAAACGGGAGAACUGUAGCUUCGCUCACCUAUGCCGUAUGGCAUUUUAGCUAUUACUUUUCAUUUCUAUACCUGCUUCGCCACAGUAGCUAAGUUUUAGAAUGUUAUCUAUGUCUUCUGACUAUCCUGAUAUAACAUAACCUAUUGUAAGCAAUUAUACAUUUAAAAUUGUCCAUGCACACUGGUAUACCCCAUUGUUAUAUGUUGCUAAUUUGCUUGAGGAUUGCCGCUGGGGUACCUCACGCUUGUAUGUUAUUCUCGAUAUGCACUGCACAAAUAAAGAAGUAAAAAAAAUAAUAAUAAAUAAAAAUAAAAUACCGUAUAUACUCGAGUAUAAGCCGACGCGAAUAUAAGCCGAGGCUCCUAAUUUUACCACAAAAAAAUGGGAAAACGUAUUGACUCGAGUAUAAGACUAGGGUGGGAAAUGCAGCAGCUACUGGUAAAUUUCUAAAUAAAAUUAGAUCCUAAAAAAAUUAUAUUAAUUGAAUAUUUAUUUACAGUGUGUGUAUAUGAUGAAUGCAGUGUGUGUGUAUGAAUGCAGUGUGUGUGUAUGAGUGCAGUGUUUGUGUAUGAGUGCAGUGUGUGUGUGCAUAAAUGCAGUGUGUGUAUGAGUGCGCAGUGUGUGUAUAAAUGCAGUGUGUGUGUAUGAAUGCAGUGUUUGUGUAUGAAUGCAGUGUUUGUGAAUGAGUGCAGUGUGUGUGCAUAAAUGCAGUGUGUGUGCAUGAAUGCAGUGUGUGUAUGAAUGCAGUGUGUGUGUAUGAAUGCAGUGUGUGUGUAUGAAUGCAGUGUGUGUGUGUAUGAAUGCAGUGUGUGUAUGAGUGCAGUAUGUGUAUGAGUGCAGUGUGUGUAUGAAUGCAGUGUUUGUGUAUGAGUGCAGUGUGUGUGCAUAAAUGCAGUGUGUGUAUGAGUAUGCAGUGUGUGUAUGAGUGCAGUGUGUGUAUGAAUGCAGUGUGUGUAUAUGAGUGCAGUGUGUGUGUAUGAAUGCAGUGUGUGUGUGUGUGAUGCAGUGUGUGUUUGUGUUGCAGAGCCUUGGUGGGGGGUGGGCAUUUUUAUAAAAAUUUUUUUAUAUUAUUUAAAUUUUUUUUGUUAUAUUAUUAUUUUUUUGUAUUAUUAUUUUUAUUAUUAUUUAUAUAUUAUUAAUUUAUUUUUCGUCCCCCCCUCCCUGCUUGAUACAUGGCAGGGAGGGGGGCUCUCCUUCCCUGGUGGUCCAGUGGCAUUGGCAGUUCAGUGGGGGGAGGAGGGGGGCUGGCAGAGCUGUUACUUACCUCUCCUGCGGCUCCUGUCAGCUCUCUCCUCCUCCGCGCCGGUCCGUGCAGCUCUUCUGUCAGCUCACACUGUAAGUCUCGCGAGGACCGCACUAUGACCCCGCGGCUCUCGCGAGACUUACACUGGGAGUUGACCGAGGUGCUGACCGGACCGGCGGGGAGGAGGAGAGAGCUGACAGGAGCCGCAGGAGAGGUAAGUAACAGCUCUGCCAGCCCCCAGUUUGUAUUAUGGCAAUGUAAAUUGCCAUAAUACAGACAGUGACUCGAGUAUAAGCCGAGUUGGGGUUUUUCAGCACAAAAAAUGUGCUGAAAAACUCGGCUUAUACUCGAGUAUAUACGGUACCUUUUGGUUGAUAGCCAUUUAGCUCCCAUUCCAUUGAAACCCAACUGGCUUACAAACACCAAGGAAACAUAUAGAUGUGGCCAUUGUAAGGCCUGUCAGUUCAUCACCCCCUCACAAUCUACCACAUCAACACAGUUAAUAUCACCAUCAAAACCAACGCUUUGGUGAAUUGCAGUACUACCCGAUUAAUAUAUCUAAUUACAUGCAAGUGUGGUAUUCAGUAGAUUGGGAAGACCUUCCAACCAUUCCGUCGGAGGAUUCUCCAACAUGUGAAUUUUCACCAGGGUAAUGCUGAUAAUCUGAGGUUUCAAGCCAUUGAAAAAUUGGCACCAAAUCCCAGGAAAGGGAAUUUCAACCAACAGUUACUCCAAAAGGAAUCACAUUCAGAACUUUGACCCCACAGGGACUUAAUGUGGAGUUUAAUUACAGCCCUUUCAAACACUGAUAAAAUUAUUCACCUCAAACUCCUUAUACCCUUUGAUACAAUUUGAUACAUAUACAUAUAUUUUUUGACAAUUGGGCCUUUAAUUGGCACAUAGAAACAAUUUAUAAUGACAUGUAUAUAUGUACAUACUCAUAUUAUUCUCUUCAUCUUAAUAAGUUCAUUAUUGUCUCUAUCAUAUACACAGAAUUACUUGUAUUGGUGAUAUGACAUCUUACAUUAAAUUAAAUUAUUAGCAGCGCUCCUUUAAUUUUGUUUUAUUUAUUUAUUUUUCUUUAACUCAUAUUAAUGCUGACUACUACUGAUGUAUAUAUAUAUUUUGCUUCAUCUAUCUGUCAUUCCACUGUGACCCCUUUAUAAGCUUAUCACGGUGGAUUGACAUAUUUAAAAAUGCAGAAUUAGCUAAAAAAUAUUUUUUUCUGCAUAAUGUAUUGCAAGACAUAUGAUCCAUUUAAAUGCUUAUUACAGUGGGUAGUGAUCCCUUAAAUGCCUUUUGCAGUGGAUAUGAUACCUUUAAAUUCUUACUGCAGUGGAUUGAUAUAUAAAUCAUCUAAUAGGGUAGAAUAAUUAUAAUAAUAACCUCCUGCAUUAUCUGUUGCAUAUAAUAUAACACCAGUAGCUUAUGCCAUCAAUGUGGUAAUUACAACUUAUGAUUUAACAUCUCUUGGAAACAGAGCUUUUGUGGUCCUUUCUGACCACCAUCUCUCGUCAGUAACAACUGAUGAUGUCAUCUUUUCUAAUCACCAAUCAGCAUUUUGAGCGCCUUAUUUACACUCUCACCAACAGGGAUUGAGUUCCCCUUGAAAAGCCGCCUUACUGGCGAAACGCGCGUCAUAUUUUUUGUAUAGCUAUCACUAUUGUAUUUUUCACUAUUAAAAGUUAUGUUUUAAUUACUUUAUUCACAGCAGUGUUCCUCCUCUUUUUUCUCUUCAUAUUCUAUUUAGGGUUAACCCCUUCACUGCCCUACCAAUUUACCUUAUACUAGGCUUCCACUUUGUUAAUUUUCAUACACGGCUUUUAUGCCCAGUCCCAUGCAAAGGGUUUCACAAGCAGAAAAUGCAAGGGAUCCAAACAAGAUCCUCAGUGCCUGAGAGAUAAUUGCCUGAGUAAACUCAUCUAAUUUGAUUAUAUCCCAGGCACAGAAAAUCAACCAAAUAUUCUGUACCCCAAAAGUACCCCAACCAUACAUAGUAACCCCAGAAAAAGUACAUUCCCUGGUAGCCCGGAUCUGAGUGACCAACAUAUCCAAGAAUCACUUAGAUUGGUUCAGCAGAACCCUUGGUAACCUAAGGGGGGAUAAAGAAUAAUAGUGUGAAAUGUCUAAAAAUGACGUGAGUGGAAUAGCUCAAUAGGAAUUCACUCACGUGGUUCUGAGCCUAAAAAGGACAGGCUCAGAUCACUCAAGCGGACGUGUAUUUGAGGAGACACGAAUCCUUUAGGUUAUGUUGCUUAUAUUCUUCCUCUGUAAAGGUAACAAAUACCGAUAUCUAGUGUAGUAAGUCCAAGAUACCAAUGUAUAUAGGUGAAUAAAUAAAACUGCUCACCUUACAUAGAACCUUUUUUUUAAAUUACUUAACAAGGAUCCAACCAAUUAAAUUAAAAUCAGCUAUCACGUAUUGAUAGAGAGAGGUAAAUUGCACAAUAUAUUAAAUAAAAAAAGAAUAUGAAUUCUUAAGUAUAUCACAUCCCAAAGUACCAGUAUUCUAUUUUCUUCCAAAGAUUCACAAGGACAUCAAAAACCCUCCAGGAAGGCCAAUAAUAUCAGGGAUUGGAUCAGUAUCCAGCCGAUUAUCACAAUAUAUAUACAUUUACAACAGAUAGUCCGAAAGUGCCCUAGCUAUCUCAAAGACACAAUCAGCAUCUUACAGGUCCUUGAGAACAUUGAGUGGGAGGAGAAUUUUUAUCUCGUUACAUCAGAUGUAACCUCCCUCUAUACCAUAAUCCCUCAUGAUAGGGGCUGCCAGGCGACAAAGGAAUUCCUGGAUAAAUUCCAGGAUUUGCAUCCUGACCAGGUUAACUUUAUCAUUGAAGGGAUUGAGUGGAUACUUCUACAUAAUUAUUUUUGGUUCGGCAAUAAUUUUUACCUCCAAACAUGUGGAACUGCGAUGGGCAUGAGGUUUGCCCCCAGUUAUGCCAACCUCUUUAUGUCCCAUUGGGAACAGAAGUUCAUCUAUGAGGAUGGCAGAUGGGGGUCGAACCUCGUGAUCUAUCGCAGGUAUAUUGAUGUUUUAUUUUUUAUUUGGAAGGGAGAUGAGGAAUCCCUACAAUUAUUUUUAGCUCAUCUCAAUUCGAACGACUGGGGUAUCAAACUAACCACACAUUUCAGCAAAUCACAGGUCAAUUUUUUAGACUUGAAUAUUUAUGUAGAGAACCAGACACUUAAGACUAAUACCUUUUUAAAAAAAGUAGAUGUCAAUAGUUAUAUACAGGAAAACAGUUGCCAUUUUUCACCUUGGCUUUUGAAUGCCCCAAGAGCACAAUUGCUCAGAAUAAAGCGCAACUGUACGGAGGAAUCUAUGUUUCAUGAACAAGCACAAAUAAUUAUAAAUAACUUCAAAGAAAAAGGUUAUAAAGAUGAACUGCUAAAUGUAGCAUAUAACACAUGGUCUGUUAUAUGUUGGACGUACCAUGCGCCUCCUUAAUGUACGUAUACAAGAACAUAUUAGAAAUAUAAAAAAUGGGUUCGAUAAACACAGUUUAUCAUCACACUUUUUUAAAAAACAGAACAAAGAUCGCAAUAAUCUAAAAUGUAUGGGUAUAUACAAAUUAACACCAAAUUGGAGAGAAGACCUGAUAAAAUGCUUAGGACAAAUGAAAAUGAGAAGUGUAACGGCUACCCAGGUAGUAAGUGUAACGAGAAUAUACCCCUACACGCAGGAUCCAGCUAAACAGAGGCAAAUACAGAGGAGAGAUACGUCUACCGGACCUUAGAAUGGCCGGACUCGACGUAUAUGAGAGGAGACAGAGCCAGGAACAAACUGAGGUCAAGGGCACAGAGAGACAGCGUAAACUAGGACAAGCCGGGGUCUGGUACACGGAAAACAGCAAGCCGGCAAACAGUACAGAUAAGGAUAAAGCGAAAACGAAGUCAGAAUACGAAGCCAAAGUCAAUACGAGAAAACACAACUGAACACCACAAGCGCUAAAGGGAACUGAAACAGAAACCACGAUAGGGCAACGAGCUAAGGGAAAAAGGUAAGUUUAAAUAGCUUUUAAACGAAAGUGAUUGGCUCCUGUCACUUCCACACCCCCUAUAGGUAAUUGUACAGGGAGUGUGGUAUGACAGGAGCCAAUGGGAGCCUUUUGGCAAUUAGGCUCCCACUGUCUCUUUAAGAGCGCGCCCGAGACUCGCGGCGCGCUCUUAGUUUCAGGCGGGACACGUGACCGCUUCACGCGGUCACUGCCCGCCUUCCAUCUAAAGUAGUCGGAUGAGCCGCGCGCGGCUCGUGCAGCCGCAGGACCGCGCGCGGCUUGAAGAGAGGACCGCGACCGGCCCCCGGUUAAGGUAAGUAACGCUACAGUACCCCCCCCUGAGGACACGCCCCCCGGGCGGGUAGGACCAGGCCUGGCAGGAUAACGAGAAUGGAAAGAGCGCACAAGACGGGGAGCAUGGACAGCAUCAGCCGAAAUCCAACUGUGCUCCUCAGGUCCAUAACCCUUCCAAUGUACCAAGUACUGAAGUCGACCCCUAAGGAAACGAGAGUCAAGAACAGCAGACACUUCAAACUCCUCAUGACCCUCCACCGAGAUAGGAGGGGGAGGAGGAGUAUGCCGGGUAUAGCGGUUGCGUACGAAAGGUUUCAACAAUGAGGUGUGAAAAACAUUAGGAAUACGUAGAUUCUUAGGCAGGCCUAAGGCAUAAGAAACAGGAUUAACCUUAUGUAUAAUACGAUAAGGUCCAAUGAAGCGGGGAGCCAAUUUCAUAGAAGGCACCCGGAGACGAAUAUUCCGCGUGGAAAGCAAAACCCUGUCCCCCACAACAUAGGACGGAGCUGCUCUGCGAUGCUUGUCAGCCUGAGCCUUCUGGCGAGUAGCAGAGUCCACCAAAGAACGCUGAACCUGCUCCCAAGUAUUACGCAAACCAGCCAAAUGCUCAUCCAGAACUGGCAUGCCCUGUGAGGAGAAUGCAGCCGGAAGAACAACGGGAUGCUGGCCAUAGACAACGUAAAAAGGGCUCUUGCCGGAAGAAUCAUGAGUGGCGUUAUUCCGAGCAAAUUCAGCCCAAGGAAGCAGGUCAGACCAAUUGUCCUGAUGGUGAGACACAAAACAACGGAGGUAUUGCUCCAGAGACUGGUUGGCACGUUCAGCAGCCCCAUUAGACUGGGGAUGAUAAGCGGAAGAAAAUGAGAGAGAAAUACCCAUUUCUGAACAAAAGGCCCUCCAGAACCUGGAAAUAAAUUGGCUACCCCUAUCGGAUACAAUAGAUACGGGAAUCCCAUGUAAUCGAAAUACUUCUCUAGCGAAGAUAUGAGCCAGUUCCUUGGAUGUGGGCAACUUGUGAAGAGACACGAAGUGAGCCAUUUUGGAGAACCGAUCCACUAUCAUCAGGAUUACUGUGUUACCAUUUGAAGGGGGUAAUUCAACAAUAAAAUCCAUGGACAGGUUAGACCAAGGUCUCUCGGGAACGGGUAACGGAUGCAACAGCCCACAAGGAACUCUACGGGAGGAUUUCAUACAGGCACAAGUAGUACAAGCACUUAUAUAGUCAGUGACAUCCUUUCGUAAGGAAUCCCACCAAAAAUACCGAGAAACAGCUGACACCGUUUUGGAAAUACCAGGAUGUCCAGCAGUCUUAGUAUCAUGAUAUAAUGACAUAAUCUCCCGUCUCUCAGGAACAUCAACGAACAGUUUAUCAUUAGGCCUCUCGCUAGGUGCCAUGCUUUGUUUCGCUUGUAUGGCCUGCAAGAGGGACGAGGAAAUAGACAAAAUAGUAGUAGCUAUUAUCCUGUCUGGGGGAAUGACAGGAGUAACAUCAAUCUCCUGUUUGUCAGUAGUUUCGAACUGUCUGGACAGAGCGUCUGCUUUAGUGUUGCGAUCACCUGGCCUAUAGGUGAUAAUAAAAUUGAAACGGGACAAAAAUAGUGACCACCUAGCCUGCCUGGAAGACAAUCUUUUGGCUUCGCUAAGGUAGGACAGGUUCUUGUGAUCCGUAAAAAUGAGGAUAGGAUCCUUAGUUCCUUCUAACAAAUGUCUCCACUCUUUAAGUGCUAAAAUAAUAGCAAGGAGUUCGCGAUUACCCACAUCAUAAUUUUUCUCUGCUUUGGACAUUUGUUUAGAAAAGAAGCCGCAUGGAUGCAAUGGCUUUUCAGGCGACUCUCUUUGGGAUAAGACAGCACCUACCCCAAUAUCCGAAGCAUCAACUUCAAGAAUAUAGGGCAGUGAGGGGACAGGAUGCUGUAAAAUAGGUGCAGAGGCGAACGUAGUUUUAAGAAAUUCAAAAGCCUGAAGUGCCUCGGUAGACCAAACACGAGUAUUGCCAUCCUUUUUAGUCAUACGGGUAAUAGGUGCUACAAUGGACGAGAAACCUUUGAUAAAACGUCUAUAAUAAUUGGAGAACCCAAGAAAACGCUGAAUAGCUUUCAGACCUUGUGGUAGAGGCCAUUCUAUUACAGCAGCAAGCUUCUGGGGAUCCAUACGAAAACCUUUAGCGGAAAUCAAAUACCCCAAGAACUGGACUUCGGUUUGGUCAAACAGACAUUUUUCUAGCUUGCAAUAAAGACCAUUAGCAAGAAGGGUCUUCAAAACUGUCGUAACAUGUCUGUGAUGAGUGUGUAUAUCUGUAGAGUAUAUUAAAAUGUCGUCCAAGUAUACGAUAACAAAUGUGUGAAUAAAAUCUCUUAAGACAUCAUUAAUAAAUUCUUGGAAUACUGCUGGGGCAUUGCAAAGCCCAAAUGGCAUAACAGUAUAUUCGUAAUGACCGGAUCUAGUGUUGAAUGCAGUCUUCCAUUCGUGAUUUUCCUUUAUACGUAUCAAAUUGUAUGCACUCCUAAGGUCUAAUUUAGUGAACACAGUGGCAUGUUUCAGCCUGUCAAAUAAUUCUGUAAUUAAAGGUAUAGGGUAUGCAUUUUUGAUAGUGAUUUUGUUUAGACCUCUAUAAUCUAUACACGGUCUUAAAUCACCUUCUUUCUUCGAUACAAAGAAGAACCCUGCUCCAGCUGGAGAAGAGGAUCUCCUAAUAAACCCCUUUUCUAAUGAUUCCUUAAUAUACUCCUCCAUGACACGGUUUUCUUGAACCGAUAAGGGGUACACCCUGCCCUUUGGAGGUAUAGUGCCAGGCAACAAGUCAAUAGCGCAAUCAUAGGGUCUGUGAGGCGGUAAUUUCUCAGCCUCCCUUUUAUCGAAAACAGUCUUUAGAGAUAAAUACUGAGGGGGUAUAACCGUAGACAAAGGAGGACUGGUAGGUACCUCAAUAGAAUUCAAAGGUGUGACUUCCAACGUACAAGACUCGUGGCAGGUCUCACUCCAUGAUUUUAUUUGCCCUGUCUCCCAGUCAAAAAUGGGAUUGUGAGCACGUAACCAUGGAUACCCUAAUACUAACUGUGAAGAGGGAGAGGAGAUGACCUGGAAUCGAAUGGUUUCAUAGUGUAAAACCCCUGUGUACAUGUGUAAUGGUACAGUCUCAUGAGUAACAACUGGAGAACUUAAUGGUCUACCAUCUAUGGCCUCAACGGCCAAGGGUAUCUCCUUCUCUCUGAUGGGAAUGUUGUUUCUCUUUAUAAAGCCAGAGUCUAUAAAAUUUUCAGCUGCCCCAGAGUCAACCAGAGCAUAUAUGUUGUCAACUAUACAAAUCUCUCCCAUAUAUAAAGAAACCGGGAGAAGCAAGCGGUUAGGAGGCAAUUUAGGAGACUUAGAUAUCACACCCAAGGCCAGUCCCCUAUAAGGUCUUAGGUGCGAGAGUUUUCCGGGAGUAAAGGACAUUCCUUUACCAUAUGGUCUCUCCUACCACAGUAUAGGCAGAGUCCCUCCCUUCUCCUAUGUAAUUUCUCAGUAUCAGAGAGUUUGGCAACCCCUAAUUGCAUAGGUUCCUCCUCAGACACUUUAACACUCUCUGGUAUAUUAACUCUGGGGUUAAUGGGUGUAACAAAACGUCUAUUCCUGUUCUUGGUAUAGAGCCUGUCACGAAUUCUAUUAUCUAUAUCAAUGAGGUAAUCGAUAAGGUCCUCUAAGGCAAUAGGAAGCUCCUUAGCUGCUACCUCAUCCAAUAUCGUAUCUGACAAACCUUCCAUAAAGGCAGUAGUUAACCCAUUGUUGGUCCAAUCUACCUGCGAAGCAAGAGUGCGAAACUGAAUAGCAUAAUCAGCCACAGACCUAGAACCCUGUUUAAUUCUCAUUAAUGCUCUCGCGGCAUUCUUUGACCUUUUCAUUGUGUCAAAAGUUCUACGAAAAGCCGUAAGAAAACUGUUGAAAUCAUGUACCAUAGGUCCAUUAGCUUCCCAAAUAGGAUUUGCCCACUCAAGUGCCUUAUCGGUAAGUUGGUGCAUAAAGAACCCAACCUUAGACCUCUCUGUGGGAAAUGAACGUGGAUACAUUUCGAAGUGGAAUUCAAUUUGAUUAAUAAACCCUCUGCAAGUCUUAGAGUCCCCUCCAUACCUAGGAGGAGGUGUUAAAUGGGCCGAAGUAUUAGGCAAAGUAGAUACUUCAGGGAGAAGGGGCGUAGGAGGGUUAGGUGUGGUUGCUGGAACGGUUCUAGCUAGGAGCGCCUGGAGAGCCUGGGCUAUCUGAUCCAUACGGUGAUCCUGCUCUACAAAUCUUGCCUCAUGGGACGCCAUCUGUUGAGCUAAAUCUGCGGGGUCCAUGGCCCCAUCGUAAUGUAACGAGAAUAUACCCCUACACGCAGGAUCCAGCUAAACAGAGNNNNNNNNNNNNNNNNNNNNNNNNNNNNNNNNNNNNNNNNNNNNNNNNNNNNNNNNNNNNNNNNNNNNNNNNNNNNNNNNNNNNNNNNNNNNNNNNNNNNUGAAGUGCCUGUGUCACCUAACAACUAAUAAUCGAGAGAUUAAAUAAAAUAAAUAUAAAAUUUACUUUCUCAUCCCUCAAGUCAGGUGUUUGUAAAAAAACAAAACAAAAUUAUAUUUUGUGAGCUUUGAGUUGGUGCUUAGUGAUUGAGUGCAUUGGAUUAUGUAUGUUAAGUUAAUUGGUCCCAACAGCACCUUUAUAAUAUAUGCAUGUUGAAAUUAGUGCAGCCUUCUUGGUUUCACAUAUAUGUUUUGGGAGACCAUGCCAUCUCCCUGGAUUUUCCACUUCUCCUUGUCACAGGUGCCUCAUUCCAGGGUCCUAUUUAGCCUUGCAAUCCACACAGCUCCACCAAGAUUGAUUCCCAAGUAAGUGGGAACACUUUACACAUUACUAUUCAUACAGAUAUUUCUUAUAGAGGGCUAUCAUGACAGCUCUGUAUAUGUAAUUCAUUUAUAUGUUGCAAUUUGUCCUUAUCUUCAUCCCAAUAGUGAAUACACUAUAUCAUAAUAGUUUUACCUACAAGAGAUACAUUGCUGGUCACUAAGUUGCUAACAUUUGCAUCUGGCUACUAUGUGCUGGACUGGCUCUUUGCACAGUCUGUACCUUGGGUCCACCCCCACUUUUAUUGAUCUGGUGCUGAGUGCCUGUUCCUGUGCCCAUAGGUUUAGUGCCUCAGUGCAGUUUUUCAGUCUUGCAUUAUCCAACUAUUGGCAUGAUUGAGCCCAAUGCCACACAUAUGGAUACAGGAAUGCUUAGUAUAUAGUGGUAUCUGCCGGUCGCACAACCCAUGGAGAGGCUGGUACCAUGGACAUUUUAUGUAUCCUCUAUCUGUUGUUGUCUCAGGUAUUCCGUUACCAGUUUAUCUUUUGGAGCCAUCUUUGUGAUGUACUUGUAGAUGCUCUGUGUUUCAUCAUCAGAACCUUCCUUUCGGCUGGUGUAAAGUCUCUGGGUGUUGGAUUUAAGGUUAACGCAUCCAUUCAUAGUGAGUAUUUUCUGGGUUUUGACAUGCAUGGACAGGCUAUUAUUCCAGCUGGAUACCUGGUGACUGAUACACCAUAUAUGUUAAUGAUUUGGCUCUUGUUCUUGACAUUAAGCUGGGAAUUUAGGAUCUGUCUUACUCUCUGUAGAAUCCCAUGUGACUGCUUGUUCUAGCAGUAGUUGGUAUGUUGUGAUCCUCUGGUAUUGUUUAUAAUCUCCUUUUAAGUAUUUCUCAUAAACUGACUCAUAUGCUCAUUGAUCUUGGAGGCUAUGAUGCUUGAUAGGACCUUCCAUGUUUUUGUUUUUUUUUGGUGGGGGCAGGUGAUUGAUUAGUAGUUAUAUGGUGUUGUUCCCUUGUGAGGUUUCUUCAUGAACAGUAUAGUUUGCCUUGUGUUAGCCAGUCAGAGUAUCUGGCUCAUUUGUGCAGCCAGCUAGCAUAGCUGGCAUUCAUACAGUGUUGUUAAAUAUUAUAUCCAUAGGUAUGGAUCAUAUCAUAAGUAGUUUUUUUGGAGGGUUAUAUAGAUUAGAGGUUAUUUCUGUUGCUUUGUAUGGUGCACCAUAACAUAUUGGUAAUAUUUCUCUCCCAUUAACACUGAACCUACAUUCACUUGUUCAAAAUUGAAGAUGACAUUACACGUUUGUAUGGCAGGACUAAAGAAAGAGAAUUUGAAAGGACCAGACCAGGAUUCAGGGCUAGAAUAUGCUACUGAUUUUUGAAAGCUGCACCACAAGCUAGGGAAGCCUCCUUAUCAUCCUUGAUUGGUGAAUUGGGAAAUGCUAAGAAAGAUACACCAAAUUACUGCCUUGUAGCUGAGAUUGGAGAUUUAGCGUUAGAACCUAAACCCAAAAUUGAUGACCAGAUGAGGGAGGAGGCGGAACCAGAGGAGUAGGAGAAACAGAAACAGUUCCAGGAUUUUACUAAAUCAUAAUGGAUUCAUGAUUUUCUUUAACACACUCCCAAAUAGCAGCAAACAUUUUUAACAUAACAUGAAUUUCAAUACAAAAAUAUUUAUGAAAAUACUAGUGAUAUCACACCCAUCACAUGUCACUGGUAAGAAAAAGGCUGAACAAACCUUCUGUAGUCCUCUUUCUUUGAUGCUGGAACCAAUUGAAAUCCAAACAUAACUGAAACAAAAAUCAACAUUGUCAAAUCCAAAUGCAGUAACAAAUGCUUUUUGUCCGCUUGGAAUGCCCAGGGGACAACACACAGUUCAUUGAUUGGCUGCAGGUUUAGGGGGGGCAGCACGCCACACAACCAGAACACAACGGACCACAGAGACCACUGUGGACACACAAUACAAUGAUGAGAUGCAGAUACCGAAAUGGGUCCACAAGGACCACACCCACCCAAUAGGAGGGUGGGCAGAUAACCUACCAACUAGAUGGAACAACCACUAGAACUUAGAUGCUUAGAUGGGGAGGGAGGUGGAGAAAGAGCAGGGGAGGCAACAGAGCUACAAGCAAGUCAGGACGUAGAGAUUAAACACCACGUACUGUGCAGUUACACCUGGGCCCCGACGUAUAGGGCCCCCCCGACAUGUAAGUUAAGGGAACACGGCUCCUCCAGGAUCACACUAGACUCACCAGGGAUGACAAUAUGCACAUACAUGAGGAACAAACAGGACCAAGAGGCAGGGAGACCUGGCAAUACACCCCCGAGGCCCCGAAGGCACCUACACACUCAGAGACAUACAAGCCCCGAGAUUACACUUGGCACAUACACUAAGGACCUACAACCAAUGCCUGACAGUCAGGGGAACACACACCGCAACCCAAGGGAGACCUACAACUCGCACACCUAAGCCGAACAGACCUUAAAACUACACACAGACCACACACACAAAAUGAAUCUCCCUGACACAAAUAAGGACACAGACAGGCCCUGGGUAAUUGAAAGCUCUAUUCCAGGCCCACGACCAACGGAGCCCGCGACAAAGAGCAGUCCUAUUCCCCGCUGCAUACACAGGGGGAAAAAACAGGGUUGAUCUCUGAGUAUGCAUCCAAAUAGUCACCACAUACAAAGAGACACCGAAGACAUGACUCUAGAUACCUUGAUAUGCAUGCACAAAUGUCAAGCAAUAACUGUCUGCACCCCCUGCCCCAUCGAUAUUAAACGAUACCUAGGACCUGCGAGGCCAAUUGGCACAUGUAUCCCUUACAGACACUCUCAAACGGACCUGUCAGGGUAAUGCUAGCACGAGUACCAAUAGAGGGUCAGAUCAGCAUGCCCAUACUCUGUAGUUUGCAAUGCCUGAAAAACAACAUGCGAGAGUAGAUGUAGAUAGACAUCAACCGCAGACAGAUAGGUCAUAUUGAAAGUGCCUCUCAUUUGUUAAAGGACCACUAUAGUGCCAGGAAAACAUACUCCCGUGGCGCUGAGGGGGGAGGAAGGGGUUAAACUUACCUCUUUCUCCAGCGCCGGGCAGGGAGCUCUCCUCCUCCUCUCCUCCUCGUCGGCUGAAUGCGCAUGCGCGGCAGGACCUGCGUGCACAUUCAGCCAGUCUCAUAGGAAAGCAUUUACAAUGCUUUCCUAUGGACGCUGGCGUCUUCUCACUGUGAUUUUCACAGUGAGAAGCACACAAGCGCCUCUAACGGCUGUCAAGAGACAGCCACUGGAGGCUGGAUUAACCCAUUUAUAUACAUAGCAGUUUCUCUGAAACUGCUAUGUUUAUAAAAAAAAAGGGUUAACCCUAGCUGGACCUGGCACCCAGACCACUUCAUUAAGCUGAAGUGGCCUGGGUGCCUAUAGUGGUCCUUUAGUGUGAAUCGAUGCUGCACAAAUUUGUUUCAUAUGUUGGGCGCUUAGUUUGCCUCGAGACCUGCGUGUCUCAUUCUCUAUUGUUAUAUCGGAGAUCUGCGUAUCUCGACCGAUCAAUCAUUAUGUUUUAAAUCUGAAACCUGCGCGUUUCUUUGCACUCUACUUUUUUGAAACCCUGAAAAAUUUCAAUAAAAAGAUAUUUACAAAAAAAAAUGUUUUUUGUCAUCUGGAGCAAAGUGAAGAAAACCAAAGAUAUACCCUCAUAAAAAAAUAUUCAGAAAAGAUGAUACAAUCAAUGAAAUACAAACUUCAAAGUUGAGCUGCAACAGAAACUAAACAAUGCAUUAUAUCUUGAAAUUACAUAUUCAGAAAUAUAAUGUAUAAUACAUAGGAAAUAUGAAGAUGUCAAUAUAAUAAAUUAUUCAUACAAAAAUAAAUUUGUCAAAGAAAUAAAGACCAUAUAUAAAUAAAUAAUAGUGAGAAUACAUUAUUUAUAAUAAAAGAGAAGGGUUAAUAUUUGCCUUUGUGUUAAUUAAUUCAUGACUUUCCAUCAUGACUUUGUAAAAUCCUGGAAGUUAAAAGCUUAGAUAUCACAGUGGUAGGUAGAUGUUAAAUUAAUUAAAAUAGUUAACCCUUGCGUAUCCAGAAUCUCACCUUAUUUUUCUAAAAAGUAUCCUAUUGCCUUACAGCCUUUAUGUUGAAUAUUAGUAUGUAGGCUGCUAACAUGGUAUAUUGACAUUGAAAAAACCUCCCUCCCAACAAAAACUUGUAAAGUUUGUAAUAAACUGAUAGUAUUUUUUAGAUACACCAGACAUUUUUUGACAAUGUACCAAUGUAUUGCGAUAGGGGUGAAAGAAGAGAACCAACCCCUGAUACAGUAGGUGGUACCAGUGGGCUCUCUUUGUCCUUAUUAAUCGUGUGUAAAAUAUAAACUUUUGGGUACUCUACAUUUAAAAAAAUAUAUUCUUUGUUAUUUAAAAUGCCUUUACUUGCCCCUUUGUCCAGACAUUCUUUAGAUUUUACCUUGAUAUCCUCCAAAUAAUUAUUACCCAGUUUUUAAUAUGGUCAGGUCCAUAAAUAUUGGGACAUCGACACAAUUCUAAUCUUUUUGGCUCUAUACACCACCGCAAUGGAUUUGAAAUGAAAUGAACAAAAUGUGCUUUAACUGCAGACUUUCAGCUUUAAUUUGAGGGUAUUUUCAUCCAAAUCAGGUGAGCGGUGUAGGAAUUACAACAGUUUGUAUAUGUGCCUCCCACUUUUCAAGGGACCAAAAGUAAUGGGACAAUUGGCUGCUCAGCUGUUCCAUGGCCAGGUGUGUGUUAUUCCCUCAUUAUCCCAUUUACAAGGAGCAGAUAAAAGGUCCAGAGUUCAUUUCAAGUGUGCUAUUUGCAUUUGGAAUCUGUUGCUGUCAACUCUCAAUAUGAGAUCCAAAGAGCUGUCACUAUCAGUGAAGCAAGCCAUCAUUAGGCUGAAAAAACAAAACAAACCCAUCAGAGAGAUAGCAAAAACAUCAGGUGUGGCCAAAUCAACUGUUUGGAACAUCCUUAAAAAGAAAGAACGCACCGGUGAGCUCAGCAACACCAAAAGACCCGGAAGACCACGGAAAACAACUGUGGUGGAUGACUGAAGAAUUCUUUCCCUGGUGAAGAAAACACCCUUCACAACAGUUGGCCAGAUCAAGAACACUCUCCAGGAGGUAGGUGUAUGUGUAUCAAAGUCAACAAUCAAGAGAAGACUUCACCAGAGUGAAUACAGA
This 47891-nucleotide long non-coding RNA is filed under the name Pelobates cultripes (western spadefoot toad). Lineage: Eukaryota; Metazoa; Chordata; Amphibia; Anura; Pelobatidae. The record is from RNAcentral.